Callithrix jacchus (white-tufted-ear marmoset) is the source of this 70939-nucleotide non-coding RNA. NCBI's taxonomy places the organism in Eukaryota, Metazoa, Chordata, Mammalia, Primates, Cebidae. The record is from RefSeq and is a predicted model, not a curated record.
AGUGCGCAGAGGGGACAGGUGGCGGGGGGGAGGGGCGCUCCGAGACCAAGGCGGUUUCAGAACCCGGGGCUGUGCAGUUGAGGCCCCCGUAGGAGCGGGGUGCAUGGCAGCAGCCCGGGCAUCCGUCAGUGUCCUCAGCCGUCGCUAGCAGGAGGAGAGGCGGAGCAAAGCUGCCUUCUCUACCCGCGGGAACUGUGGAUGCUCCCACACGAAGUCGUGAUCUCCUUUGGGGACAGAUCUUUGCCCCCAAACUACUAAACAGCCUGCUUGGAUAACAGCCCCACCACUGAUUCACAAAAUGUUUUGGUUAUAGGAUCCACAAAUCAGAGUUUUAGAGAUGCAGGAUGUUUGGAAAGAGCAUGGCAUUUUCUGUCCCGUAGCUCCUCUCUGCUAGGUAGUUUAUAAACACUGGAAGUGAAAUGAAGUCAGUCUUGUCUCGUGAGAUGGAGGGAAAAAAGGAGGUAACCACAGCUGUCAUCCUGGGAACCAUGUCUGGGAGAAAAAGGCUCUGCGAAUGUAAACAGUUAAUGCUUUUCAUAGAAAUCGGCCAGGCUGAGUUUGAUACUUGUAAACUCUGAAUAAUAUAGAAAUAUCUUUACACACAAACUAUAGUACUUUCAGACUUUGCACUCUUACACUGUUUUGCAACUCUCAAUUCAACUUUGCAGGUGAAUUGCAAGGGCAUAGUCUCAUCCCAACUGCGAAUCUGGCCGUUGAAUACUAACCUGUAGGCGCCCGGGGCUCCUUUUGCUGACAUGUUAAUGAGUUGAGGGCAAGCGGGACCCACCCACAGUUAAUUCUUCGGGAUCUCCAGUCAAACCCAAGUCCCCUGGGGGCAGCUGCGGGACUCUCAGACAAGAUAGCCUUUGGGGAAAGAGGCCUGGGACAGGUCUUAAUUAAGAAAAGAAAGAGUUCUCAGAGUGGGCCACAAAUCAAACAAACAAGAAAGGGAAAGUGAUGGGGGUCGGGGAACCGAAGUGUGGACUUAAGGCUUGCUCUGCGCCCUCAGCCUCUCUGAGCCUGUGUUGCUGGGUGUAAUUUUCAGUCUCCCUUUAAUUUCGGGAUGAAGGGAAGACCGGUCUAAGAGCAGCAUAGUCACCAGCUGCCUUUCUGCCUCCUCACGUGCCUAAAUUUCCCAGCGGGGCACCUGGCACUUGAGCCUCAGUUCCUGCUCAUCUCUGUAUGCUCCAGGCAGGUCACACUUAAGGAAGGUGUCAUUGAAGAGAAUGGCAAGUUCAUUGCACCCCGUUUCCUGGGACAUUGAGGUCUCUUACUUGCUGUGCCCUUUUGCUCAGCCCUGCGUUCUUCAUCAAGUCUUCUGUUUCCCAGAGGUUUGGCCAAGUGCUUGUUGCUCUGUCCUCCAUAGAGUGGUUCUUCCUGAUUUUAUUGGGUUCUCCUGUAAUCUGGUUCAUAGCCUGAGCUUCCCUCCUUAUCAAAACUAUAUAUACACGUAUAAUUUAAAAAGUCAAAUAUGUCUACAAAGCUUAUAACUAGGAUGGUACUCAUUCACCUUACCCCUCACCAACUUCCACUUCUUUUUAUUCUCUAGAGAUGGAGUCCCGCUCUGUUGCCCAGGCUAGAGUGCAGUAACGUAAUCUCAGCUCACUACAACCUCUGCCUCCUGGGUUCAAGCAAUUCUUUUGCCUCAGCCUUCAAGUAACUGGGACUACAGGCAUGUACCACCACGCCUGGCUAAUUUUUGUCUUUUUAGUAGACAGGGUUUCACUAUAUUGGCUAGGCUGGUCUCGAACUCCUGACCUCAGGUGAUCCGCUUCCUUGACCUCCCAGGGUGUUAGGACUACAGAUGUGACCUACCACACCAGGCCUUUUUUUUUUUUUUUUUUUUUCCAGUAGAAACAGGGUUUCAUCAUGUUGGCCAUGCUUUUCUCCAACUCCUGACUUCAAAUGAUCCGCCCGUCUUGGCCUCCUAAAGUGCUGGGAUUACAGGCAUGAGCUCCUGUGCCUGGCCAGUUUCUUAGAGUUAAAAUAAUAAUAAUACUUUCCUUCCUUUUCUUCUGGAACACCCAGUCAACUGGAAGGAGACCCUCAUGCUUUGAAUCUCUAAUUUUCUUACUGAAACCACCUUUGCAAAAAUUAGAACAGCUGUGAUGGUGAACGAGCUCUGAUCUAUUUUGCUUCUAACCUCCAGGUUGUCCUGGGUGUAGGCCAGACUAACUUUGGGAGGAGUUUAUAAACUUUGAAACAAAGAUGAUUAGAGCCCUUUCCCCAAAACAAAUCCCCAUGUUGCCUGGGGAUCAGAUAGGACUAACAGAUUAGCCAUUAGCCACAAGAUUUGCAGCUUGAUAACAUCACUAUUAUAGAACCUAAGAUUGGCCUUUUGAGAUGUCUUUUCAGGUUUUGGCAUUUCCUUUUUCUUUUUUUUGAUACGGAGUCUCUGUUGCCCAGGCUGGAAUGCAGUGGCAUGAUCUUAGCUCACUGCAACCUCUACUUCCUGGGUUCAAGCAAUUCUCGUGCCUCAGCCUCCCAAGUAGCUGGAACCACAGGCAUGCAUCGCUGUGCUCGGCUAAUUUUUGUAUCUUUAGUAGAGACUGGGUUUCACCAUGUUGUCCACCAGGAAAUGGACUCGGCAUGAGGACUAUUUUCCACACCCCAUGAUUGAAUCCCCAGCCAGUAAGUAGCACCCAUUACCUAGCCACUCUGUCCCCCAAACUAUCCUUAAGAAACCAUAGCAUUCGAAUUUUCAGAGAGACUAAUUUGAGUAAUAAAAUUCUAUUCUCCUAUUCAGCUGGCUCUGUGUCAAACUUCUUCUAUUGCAAUUCCCCUGUCUUGAUAACUUGGCUCUAUCUGGGCAGCAGGCAAAAUGAACCUGUUGGGUGGCUUUAUUACCUUUUUUCUUAUACUUUCUAUUUCCUUUUUAAAACAACAUUUCUACUUCCUGGGAAAUUUCCUCAUUUUUGUCUUCCAACCCAUAUGUUCAAUUUUUAUGUCUGUCAUAUUUCUAAUUCCCCAGAAAGCCUUAAAAAUAUCUGAAAUUUUCUUUUUAUAACCUCCUGUUACUGUUUCUUGGAUGAAAAGCUUCUCAAUUCUUUGUGGAUCUCAAUUACAGCUUCUUUGAAGCAUUUCUCUGCUCCCUGCACUGUUUGUUUCCUCUGAUUUCCUCUUAGUUUUGUGUGUGUGUGUGUGUGUGUGUGUGUGUGUGUGUUGCUUUUGGUUUUUAAUCACUUCCACAUUAAAGGCUUUCUUCAAAUGUCUAAUGAUCCUCGACUGGUCACUCACUAAAAAGCUAACUGGAAGGUCUACAUAGAUUAAGUAUACCCAGGAAUAGUUACUUCUUACUAAGGAGACAGAACAAUGUCUCCGAAUCUAGAACAAUGCCUGGCACACACUAGCCUUUCCAUACAUAUAAGUAUUUGCUGAGUAACUGAAUGACAUACACUCUUGCUGGGGCCCAGGUAGUUGUGAAUAUUAAAGCUCUGAGGUGAUUCAAAUAUGCAGCUAGCAUAGAGGACCUCUGCUGUAGGAUUAGCCCACUGGUGGUUUUAUUGGAGGACUCCCACCUGAUAGUAGAAAAUAUUUGUUCUCUGGGGAAACUGAUCCGGUGAAGAGAAAUCCCAUACAAAGGGAAUUGGUUGGCUGCAGUGUUCUGGGAGCCAGAUGAGAAGGAGUCUGAAAGUCUAACCAUGUGGUAUGAUGACUUUGUCUUAUUCGCCUGUUUUUUAGCCCCUGCCCUCAGCUACACCUGGUGUCUCUGAGUCUGGAGUUGCCAUGACACAGCAGAGCACACAAGUUGCAGAAUUUCAGCCUUCACUUCGUAUCUAGGGCUAAGGUGAUUUGGGGCCCCUUCCCCACCAGUGCAUGUUGCCCCCAGUUUCAGAGCUGUUGGGGGCAUAAAUCCCAACCUGGUUUCCACACUGCUGUGCUGUGCUAGGUUUUCAGUUUCCCUCAUCUGCUAAGUCAGUUACCACUAGUUUGUCUGCAUUCCAGCUUCCAAAAUUGUGUUGCAAUCAUUGUUUCUCCUGUUCUCUUUAUCUUUUCGAGUUUAACAUCCCUCCCUUCACCCUCACUCAUAUCGGACCAUUGUGUUUAUUGGAAAAUGAAUCUCCCUGCCUGACACCCCCAACUUUGCCCCAGAACCCUCCUCUCAGUUCCUUCUCCUGUUGCAGGUGCCCACCUGGAGCCACAUUGCAGAUAGGCCACAUUGAACUUUCAUCUCAGCAGUAAUCAUUUGAAAUGCCCCAGCCCCUGAAGAGAGUGGCUGUUGGUCAUUCCUGUUGGCAUGGUAGUGUCUUCUCCAUCGGGUCAUUCGUUAUGCUGCUGCUUUUGUGUGGAGUAUUGAGCAGAAGGCAUUUCUGAACAUAUGUGAUGCUGCGGCUUAUCAGGGUUCUGUCUAUGAGGAUAACUCUGCAGCACAUUAACUUUGAAAUAUAUUCGUGUCUGUUUCCUCCUUUGGUCCUCACCAGCAGCCCCUUGGGUGGCGGUGUGCUCAGGUGGACUUGGAAGCAUUGUAGUCUGAGAUGAUCAGCCUGUUCCGGUCAUGUAUCUCCAUUCCACACCCCAGAGACAAGCUGUAAGAAAGAGUUCACUAUCAAAGGCUAAGGAGUGAAGGAAAGUCCAUCAUGGAGGUUCUAGGGAAGGUGUACUCACUACCAAGAAAAACGCAAAGUAGAUGGCUCUUUUGCUUCCUCUCUGUGUUGCUGUGUAAACUGGCACGGACAUCUUGCCUCCAGCCUUAGGAUGAAGCCACAGUGCAGGAGAGAGUAAGUAGCAGGUCCCAGAGAGUCCCAGAGAAGCACAGCUCGGGGCCCCACCCUUCCUCUGCACUUCUGGCAUGUGAGAUGAUUAAUUUGCUCCCUGUUUAAGCCACUUUGAGUCAGGGUUUGAUAUCAUUUGCUGCCAAAGUGAUGCAGGUGGAGAUUUAUUUAUGUAUCACUCAUCUCCAAAAAGAGAUGAGGCAGACCAUGGGCUCACUCAGCUUUGAGCUGCUCGAUUCCUCCUUUGAUUCUCCUUCUGAUUCCAAGUACAGUUCCUUUCUACUCAGCCUAUUUUCUAGGCAGAUGAAAGUAAUUUUAUUCUCUCUUCCAACUUCAAAGGAAGGAAUAACUAUUGAGACAUUUGGGGAAAAGGGGGAGUUCUUUGCUUUGGAGAUUGCCAACCGAUCCUAGGGAGCAAACAUCCUGGGCUGUCACUGAAGUGAGGACUGUUUUUAAAUGGCGCAGCACUGAAGACACCUCAUGCUCCCGCCUGUGAAAAGCGAAGCGCUAGUUAUCCCUCCCUCCUGGGACCAGGGAGGCUGAAAAGUCUGCCUGCGGACUUUGUAUCAUUUCCUCCAUCUUCCACCCUUUGUGCCUGCCAGACUUUGGGAAGUUUCAAAGAUGAAACAAACUCCGGAAAUGCUUGGUGGUGUCGGGGAGACCAGAAUGCAGGAGAAAGUACACUGUUGGUUCCUGUCUGUCUCAAGUGGCAAUGAUGUGCUCUCCCUAUUUUUAUGAAUGGAAUGCCUCCAGAGCCCAUUCGGUACUACGUAACAUGUAUGCCUUACACCCUAUAGUUCAUCCUUACAUCCUGAACACCCUACACCAUCUGUUGGUAUUCAAACACUAUGAUGAAUGAGUAACACAAGGAUUGCUCAUGUUAAUACAGACUCAUUAAAUUUUUUUUUUUUUUUUUUUUUUGAGGCAAUCUUGCUCUGUUGCCCAGGCUGGAGUGCAGUGGUGUGAUCUCAGUUCAUUACAACAUCUGCCCCCAGGGUUCCCUUGAUUCUCCUGCCUCAGCCUCCCAAGUAGCUGGGACUACAGGCAAGCUCUACCACGACCAGCUAAUUUUUUGAAUCUUUAGUAGAAAUGGGGAUAUUCCCAUGUUGGCCAGCCUGUUCUCAAACUCUUGACCUCAGGUGAGUCACUGUGCUGGCCCAGACUCAUUAAUUUUAAUGGCAGCACAUUUUCCCAUUGAGUUGAAGGACCACAAUUUGUGCACCUGUUUCCCCAGGACUAGACAUUUAAAGUAGUAUGGGCUAGAAUAGCUGAGACUGAGACCAUACUGAGAAAUCUCAUACAUGUGGUCAUUAAUUGGGAGAUGACUAUGGGACUUUUUUUUUUUUAGACAGCGUUUUACUUUGUUCCUCAGGCUGGACUGCAAUGAUGUGAUCUCGCUGCAACCUCUGCCUUCUGGAUUCGAGUAGUUCUCCUGCCUCAGCCUCCUGUGUAGCUGGGAUUUACAGACAAGUGCCACCAGUCCCAGAUUUAUUUUAAUUUAUUUUUUUGAGACAAAGUUUUGCUUUUUCGCCCAGGCUGGAGUGCAGUGGCCUCACCUUGGCUCACUGCAACCUCUGCCAGGAUCCUGGGUUCAGCAAUUCUCCUGCCUCAGCCUCCCAAGUAGCUGGGAUUACAGGCGUGUGCCACUACGCCCAGCUAAUUUUUUUUUGUAUUUUUGGUAGAGACAGAAUUUCACCACAUUGGCCAGGCUGGUCUCGAACUCCAGACCUCAAAUGAUCUGCCUGCCUCAGCCUCCCAAAGUGCUGGGAUUAUAGGCCUGAGCCACUGCUCGUGGCCAAUUUUUAUUUUUUUAUUUUUUAGUACAGACAGAGUUUCACCAUGUUGGUUAGGCUGGUCUCAACCUCCUGACUGAAAGUGAUUCUGCCUGCCUCAGCCUCCCAAAGUGCUGGUUACAGGCAUGAGCCACCAUGCCCAGCCAUGAGACCUUUUUUUUUGACCGUUCUAGUCUCCAUCCACCUUAUAUGUUACUCUCUAUCUUCCUAACCCCAUAAUCUUCAGAGAAGCCCUUAGCAUCCCAGUUCCAGAUUCCCAUUGCCAGCAGCCAAACUCAGCAACAAGACCAACCUGGCCAACAUAGUGAAACCCCAUCUCUACUCUCUAUUAAAAAUACAAAAAAAUUAGUUGGGUGUGGUGGUGGGUGCCUGUAAUCUCAGCUACUAGGGAGGCUGAGGCAGGAGAAUCGCUUGAACCCAGGGGGUGGAGGUUGCAGUGAGCCGAGAUCGCACCAUUACACUCCAGCCUGGGCAGCAAGAGCGAAACUCCAUCUCAAAAUGGCAUUUUGGAAGUACUGAUAUUUUUGUAACUUUUUCCAGGGGUUCCUGUUAAGCAUUGGUUGGCAGGGAAUCGCCAUUUGAAAUGUGCAUCCCUGAAACGUUGCCUGCCUAGCAUGGUUUUCCAGGUGGUUUCUCCUAACACGUCUUACUACACUUUUGAAUCUAGAGAUUAUUUAACUGGCUCUUACAUUUGCUAAGACUUUUGGCUGACCUCUGAGAUGCUUGUUUUAAUUGCCAACUGAUAGAAAAUCUAAGUGGAAAAAUGCAUGAGGGUGAGAACUUUGGAGCUGGUUUUAUCUCUGGAAAUUGGUGAGCUUGUGGGGACAGGUGAUGAAGGAAAGCUGUUAGAGACAGUUUUGUCUGGUUAGUGGGCUGUUGUCUUAACGGUUUCACUUAUCAGUCCCCCUGUAAAUAAAUAUGCCAUUCCUUAAACAAUGUAAGCAUUCUGUGGAAGUUUACACCUGAAGAAAUUUACACAUAAAAAAAUUUCUGUUUUUGUAAGUUGUAACUGAGAUACACUAGAAGACCUUGAUGUUUCCAUUUAGAUUAAUCCUAUGGUGAAGCCCUUUUGUAGAACAAAUAAUUUUUUUUAGAAGUCAAGACAUAUUUGUCCCAAAUACAUACCAGAUAUAUAUGCGUGUGUGUGUGUGUGUGUGUGUGUGUGUGUGUGUGUAACUUACAGUUGUUUGUAUGUGUCAUUCUUCCCCCUGCCCCCAAUUCAUUCUCAGUCUUCCUCGGUCCUAAGAGGAUUGUGUCUCUGAACUGCAGCAUCUGGACUCCCUUGCCUGCGGUUUCUGGUUGGAUUCAGCCAAUGGGAGGCACUGGCAGGGGAUCAGAGGAGGAGGAAAGAGCAUCUGGGUAUUUAUCUCCCUCGUGGUCCCCUAACCUUGCAGGGGUUCUGACAAUGGCUGAUUUCUUCUAAGCGCUUGAGGCAACUCAGUUUCCUAGCUCCAGUUCCUGCACAGUCUGAUAACACUGCUUCCUGACCUUGCCCUUCAGACCUAGAGGUCCUAGCAGUUUCCCUGCUGUUGUUGCUGGCCCCGGGUGCUGCACUCUGCCUGUCUCUUGCACUUUCUCUCAGGCUGGUGUGCAGUGGCAUGAUCACGGCUCACUGCAGCCUCAACCUCUCAGGCCCAGUUGAUUUCCCACCUGAACCUCCCAAGUACUUGGGACCAUAGGCGUGCACUACCUUGCCCAGCUAAUUUUUAUUUUUAUUUUUUGUAGAGAUGAGGGUCUCCCUGUAUUGCCCAGGCUGGUCAUGAACUCCCAGGCUCAAGCAGUCCUCCUGCCUCAGACUCACAAAGUGCUGGGAUUACAGAUCUGAGCCACCUGUGUGUGAUGGCAACUUUUUUUUUUUUUUAAACCAGGAUGGCAACUCUUUGCUUUUGUUACUUUGUGUUUUUGUUUUUGUUAUUUAUUUAUUUAUUUUUUGAGACAGGGUCUCAAUGUCACCCAGGCUGGAGUGCAGUGGUGUAAUCACAGCUCACUGCAACCUCCACCUCUCUGGCUCAAGCAAUUUGCCCACCUCAGCCUCCCGAGCUGGGAUUGCAGGCAGACACCAUCACACCUGGCUAAUUUUUGUCUCUCUCUCUCUUUUUUUUUUUUUUUAAAGAGUUUUGCCAUGUAGUCCAGACUGGUCUGGAACUCCUGAACUGAAGCAAUCAGCCUGGCUUGGCCUCUGAAAUUGUUGGGAUUACAGACAUGAGCCACCACACCCAGCCUCAGGAUGGCGACUCUUGAAGUAGAAUAGUAACAUACAUAUCGGAGUGCAUGUGUCUCUAGUAUGUAUGCAGAUAUCAUGUCUGUGACUGUUAGAGAAAUUUUUUUUUUUUUUUUUUUUUGAGACAGUCUUGCUCUGUCGCCAGGCUGGAGUGCAGCCUGUUAGUGAAAUUUCUUUCUUUCUUUUUUUUUUUUUUUUGAGACAGUCUCGUUCUGUCGCCAGGGUGGCGUGAUCUUGGCUCACUGCAACCUCCACCUCCUGGGUUCAAACGAUUGUCCUACCUCAGCCUUCCAAGUAGCUGGGAUUACAGGUGCAUGCCAGCACACCCAGCUAAUUUUUGUAUUUUUAGUAGAGACAGGGUUUCAGCAUGUUGGCCAGGAUGGUCUCGAUCUCUUGACUUCGUGAUCCGCCUGUCUCGGCCUCCCAAAGUGCUGGGAUUACAGGUGUGAGCCAUCGAGACCGGCCUGUUAGUGAAUUUUUGUAACUUUCAUUUGUGUCCUUAUCAGUGUCGGUUCUUCAUGUGGUAAGCAAUUACCGAGUGGCAGUUAUAGGCAUCACACUGUGCUAGCAAUUAACUAUCAUGUUUUUCAGAGCCAGGGAUUCCUUAAAGGACUAAAAUAAUAGAAUUUUCUAGCUAGAAGGGAUCUAGGAGCAUGUCUAAUCCAGCUUCAUCCUUUGAAGGUGAAGCUCAGGCCACGAGGUUCAGGGCCUUGUCUGCAGCCCAGUUAGUAAAUGCGGUGGAUGGUACCAGACCUCCGUGGCUUGACGGAGUUCUGUCCUCAUUUUGCUCCGGUUACACCACCUGGUCAUUUCCUGGCUGCUUUCUGGUGCAACUAACCUACACUAGGUAUCCUUUAAAAAGCUUCUCUGUUGUUCUUUAUUGAUUCCCUCUGGCUGCAAAUGCAAACCAGAUAGUCAUGCUCUGAGCUCAUUAAAAAAAAAAACCUAAUGGCAUCCAGACAGCGGAUUCCAACCUAGACUUCAACAUAGCCCCGGUGUAGACAGCUGGGGGCUAUUCAGACCAGCCCACCACCACUGCUCUGGAGCAUCUCACCACCUUUAAACUUCAGAGCAGCAUUGUAUGUGGGUGUAUGAGGUACUGGGCAUUGGGUCGGGUGAGUUAGUUAUAAGCUGUGUGGUUUUUGGAGCCAGAGCCUCAGCUGUCAUCUGCAGACGUGGUCUCCUUCAAGCCAGGCGAGGGCUUCUGAGAGGCCUUUGCUGCCACACAGGGAUCGAUCGGUGCUGCUUCUGAAACUGUGGCCCUUCAUGGGUCUAUAUUUAGUUCAAGGACCAGGGUAUCAGGUGUCCCCUACAAAAUCAAAAACUUUUGAUGCCACUAAAUUUACAGCUUCAAAUUGGAUUCAAGUGGACAAAAAGCCUUUCCUUAAUGAAGAGACAUAAAGCAAAUUAGACUGAGAGCAAGCCUAGGUCCGUGUGAUGAGGUGAAUCCCAGUUAUUGAGUGUUCCACCCCACGUGUUACUACGUUCUUCUACAUAUGUGUGUCAGCCAGAGUUCUGAUAAAUCUCUACCAGCACCUAAGAGACAUAGGUUCAGAAAGAUUAGGAAAAGGAAGGCAGCAGGGGUGGAGUGGGGUGGGGCCGGAUUGGGCAGGUGCAGCUGGUAACCUUUACUGAUGACCUGCUAUUUGUCAGGCUUUGUGAUGGGAAUUUUAACUAGCGGAUCCCACAGCUAGAUAGCUGAGGAUUAUCAUCAUUUUGCAGUUCUGGACUUGAGGCUCAGAAGGGCCUUGACAUACCCUGAGUUGCAUAGGUAAUGUAAGGUGGUAUGUCACUUGCUCACUUCUGCCUGACCCCACACACAAACUGUCUUAUUGAAGGAUACUGUUCUAAAUGCAGCUGUCAGCCAGGUGCAGUGGCUCACGCCUGUAAUCCCAGCAUUUUGGGAGGCUGAGGUGGGCGGAUCAUGAGGUCAGGAGAUCCAAACCAGCCUGGCCAACAUGGUGAAACCCUGUCUCUACUAAAAAUACAAAAAUUAGCCGGGUGUGGUGGCAUGCACCUCUAAUCUCAGUUAUUCAGGAGGCUGAGGCAGGAGAAUCGCUUAGACCUGGAAGGUGGAGGUUGCAGUGAGCUGAGAUCAUGCCACCUGCACUCCAGCCUGAGUGACAAAGCAAGACUCUGUCUCAAACGGAUGAAUGAAUGCAGCUGCCCCAUGAGUCUUUGGGAAAAGCUAGUUAGCAUCCCUGCCUUGCUUUUCUCAACUAUAAAGUGGGGAUAAAGUUUGUCACUCUCAGGUUUGUGGUGAGGGUAGAGUGAGCAAGGGACUGCACAUGUGUUUGUCACUACGCCAACUAUGGAUGCCCUUCAUAAAACUUAACUCCUGGGCCCCUUGUGCUGGGUUUGCUGCUGCUGCUUUUUCUAAAGGGUUUUGUCACUUUUCAGCCAGCUGUUAACAUCAUUGAAUUAGUUUGCUCAUUCAUCAUAUGAGGCUUGCAUUAAAGAUGAGGUUUUUUUGUUUGUUUUUGAGAUAGAGUCUUGCUCUGUCACCAGGCUGGAGUGCAGUGGCAUGAUGUCAGCUCACUGGAACCUCUGCCUCCCGGGUUCAAGUGGAUUCUCCUGCCUCAGCCUCCAGAGUAGCUGGAAUUACAUAUGUGCGCCACCACUGCUGGCUAAUUUUUUGUAUUUUUAGUGGAGAUGGGGUUUGCCAUGUUGACCAGGCUGGUCUUGAACUCUUGGCCUCUAGCGAUCUGCCUGCUUUGGCCUCCCAGAGUGCUGCGACUACAGGUGUGAGCCAACUGCCCCCAGAUAAAGGUCAGUUUUCAUAAUGGAGAAAAUCCCAAAGAGAAAGAGAAACUUUGCAACUAUCAAAGUUCCAGUCAUGCUCUGUCUGUAUGUUCCUUCAGGACGUAAUCCAUUCACGGCUACUGGUGAGAGGCUGGACUUGGUCAGCUGGGCUGGAGGAGCCUGUGCUGUCUGUAGCUAAAUUCCAGCCACCCUCCUUAGUCCUAGCUGCUUGGGCUUCCUCCUUCCUGACCCACUGUCCCUGUGACGUAUGUUUGUCAGCACUGCACAUUUUUUUCUGCCUCCCCCUCCCCUUGAAACAGAAAUGCAUUGGCUGCGAUGAGCAUCUUUAUAGCUUAGAAUAUUGCCCAUUGUCCUUUCCACUUCAGUUAUUGAAAUAGGUAAUGAUGGGGACUCCCUGGAAUCUCCCAAGAUAUUCAUGCCUUUCUUCAGGAUGUUCCGUCUGUUACAGCCCUCUCUGGCUCUCAUGGCUGUCGGCAGUGCUUUCUAGCAGUGCUGCGGCUGAGCUCAGAGUCUUAAUUCCUGCUGUUGGCUCCGGCAUCUGAGGACAGAGAAAGGGUGGGUCUGACCCCCUGCAGAAAGUGGUGAUGGCGUCUGGGAGGAUUUGUGCCCUCAGCUGCCCAGGAGUAUCUCCGACAGAUACUCUCCCAGCACCCUUAAAGGUAUCAUACCACAAGUAUACAAAUUAUUAUUAUUAUAUUUAUUUAUUUUUUUGAGACAGAGUUGCACUCUUGUUGCCCAGGCUGGAGUGCAAUGGUGCAAUCUUGGCUCAUUGCAACAUCCGCCUCUCCGGUUCAAGCGAUUCUCCUGCCUCAGCGUCUCGAGUAGCUGGGAUUACAGGCGUGUGCCACCACGCCCAGCUAAUUUUGUAUUUUCUUUCUUUCUUUCUUUCUUUCUUUCUUUCUUUCUUUCUUUCUUUCUUUCUUUCUUUCUUUCUUUUUCUUUCUUUCUUUCUUUCUUUUUCGUCUCUCUCUCUCUCUCUCUCUCUCUUUCUCUCUCUCUCUUUUCUUUUCUUUUCUUUGACGGAGUUUCACUCUUGUUACCCAGGCUGGAGUGCAAUCUCGCAAUCUCGGCUCACCGCAACCUCCGCCUCCUGGGUUCAAGCAGUUCUCCUGCCUCAGCCUCCCGAGUAGCUGGGAUUACAGGUGUGCGCCACCAUGCUCGGCUAAUUUUUUGUAUUUUUAGUAGAGAUGGGGUUUCACCAUGUUGACCAGGAUGGUCUCCAUCUCUUGACCUUGUGAUCCACCUGCUUCGGCCUCCCAAAGUGCUGGGAUUACAGGCGUGAGCCACCGCGCCUGGCCCAAUUUUGUAUUUUCAGUAGAGACUGGGUUUCUCCAUGUUGGUCAGGUCGGUUUUGAACUCCUGACCUCAGGUGAUACACCCGCCUCAGCCUCCCAAAGUGCUGGGAUUACAGGCGUGAGUCACCACACCUAGCUGCAAAUUAUUUUUUGAGAAAGAAGAAAGACAGAAAGCCGUUGACCCUGCCGGCUGACCUCAUGUUGGCCACACUGUCCUGUGGGAGACGCACCUGUUUCUGUGUUCUUGGGACCCACACUUUGAAUUCCUCUGGAGUCCCCAAUUCUAGCUUGGGGAAUUCUACUUAGGACGCAGUACCAUAUUGCCCUCACCACCUGCUGAGGGAAAAGAACAUUUGAGAGAAAAUGUGGAAAAUAAGUUAUACAGCUUAACACAUAGGCCCAAAUAUAAGGUGAGAUUCUGCCCCCAGCCCCCCAAAAAAGUGAUCAGAAAUGAGAGUUGCCUUAUAUUUAAGUCUCUACAAAUUCUCUCUCACUGUGGGAGGGUCUUGCAAUUAUUUUAUAUUGAACAAAGUAGUAUUUAGAGAACACACAUUACUUCAAAAUGACCUUAGUCAGUGCUGGUUUUGGAUGUUUUGGAGGUCAUCUAAGGAAAUCGUAGUUUUAAAAAGGAAGAGGGUGGUUUAAAAAAAUCUACUAAUAUUCCAGAGCAUCUGACCUCACAGUAACAAGAGUCGGGUUUCUUUGUAAACAAGACUUUUAAAGAUCAUUUAAAAAUGGAACAAGUUGGCCAGCACAGUGGCUCAUGCCUGUGAUCCCAGCACUUUGAGAGGCCAAGGCGGGCGGAUCACCUGAGGUCAGGAGUUUGAGACAAGCCUGACCAACAUGGUGAAACCCCGUGUCUACUAAAAAUACAAAAAUUAGCUAGGCAUGGUGGCAGGUGCCUGUAAUCCCAGUGACUCGGGAGGCUGAGGCAGGAGAAUUGCUUGAACCCAGGAAGUGGAGUUUGCGAUGAGUGGAGAUCGUACCACUGCACUCCAGCCAGGGCAACAAAGUGAGACUCUUAAAAAAAAAAAAGAAAGAAACAAGUUAAGAACUUUAUUCAAAUAACUUAGAUUGAAGUGAGGAAGAUAUGUUUUGGAAAACUCACAAAAUGUAGCUCUAAUCACAGGAACUGGUGUGAAAAUGCCAAUGCCGCUGUAGACUUUAAAUAAAUGUUUUCCUAAAGUGUGAGCGAGAGCUGAGGGUAAACCGGAAAGCUUUCUACUUUAGCAUGCAUUUAAUGUUUAUAUAUUCAUGUAUAUAAUAUAUACAUGUGUAUAUGUGUUACUCUAUUAAUACCUUAAGGUAUUUUAAGUGUAUCAUAUUUUAAUAUUUAAAUGGGAUAUUUACAUCUAAUAAUAUAGAUUUUUUUUUUUUUUUUUUUUUUUGAGAGGGAGUAUUGUUCUGUCUCCCAGACUGGAGUGCAGUGGUGUGAUCUUGGCUCACUGCCAUGGCCACCUCUUGGGUUCAAGUGAUUCUCCUGCCUCAGCCUCCCAAGUAGCUGAGAUUAUAGGCAUGUGCCACCAUGCCUGGCUAUUUUUUUUUUUUUUUUUUUUUUUUUGUAUUUUAGUAAAGACAGGGUUUCACUAUGUUGGUCAGGCUGGUUUUGAACUCCUGACCUCGAAGGAUUCAUCUGCCUUGGCCUCCCAAAGGCCAAGGAUUAUAGGUGUGAGCCACUGCGCGGGCCCAGAUUCUUUCAUUUACAGUUAUCUAAUCAAAUUGCCCCCAAAACAUUUUCAGCUAUAAUCUAAUUGGGACAGUAGAGGAUCCACCUAUAUUUGGAAUAUCCUUAUGAUCUAAUGGAGAAGUCUUUCAUUCACACCAAUUAUAUAGAAAGUGCAUGUCAAGAAGUGAGUUAAUAAUAUAUAUUGUUAUCAUCUGGAAUCAUUGUUUCUAUACCUUCAUUCUUGUUUCUUGAUUGAGAUUUCUUUUUUUCUUGAGACAGUUUUGCUCUGUCUCAAGGCUGGAGUGCAGUGACACGAUCUCAGCUCACUGCAACCUCCGCCUCCUGGAUUCAAGCAAUUCUCCUGCCUUAGCUUCCUGAGUAGCUGGGAUUACAGGCCUGUGCCACCACGCCCGGCUAAUUUUUGUGUUUUUAGUAGAGACUGCGUUUCACCAUGUUGGCCACGCUGCUCUUGAACUCCUGACCUCAUGUGAUCCACCCACCUCAGCCUCCCAGAGUGCUGGUAUUACAGGUGUGAGCCACUGUGCCCUGUGCUUGAGUUGUCUUGAUUUGCAAGAGUCAAACUAAAAUGAACGUACGUAUAGAUUUUUUUUUUUUUUUUUUUUUGUGAGACAGUCUCGUCAUUGAGGCUGGAGUGCUGUGUGUGUGAAUGAAGCUGACGGCAGCCUUUACCUCCUGGGCUCAAGUCAUCAGCCCUCCUUAGCUUCCCAAAGUGUUGGGAUUACAGGCAUGAGCUACCAUGCCUGGCUAAAAAAGCAGAAUAUUGAAAUGAUUCAAAUAUGUUUUCUUUGAAAUCAAGGAAUCUCUACUGGGAAAGGGGUACCAGCUUAUCUUUGGGAGUCACUUCAUAGCAGGGCAUGUGUGGUAUUUGGAGUUGCGUUGAGCAGAUUACAGUGUUGUGUGUGUGUGUAACCAGCCCUCCUGAGGCUGCUGACAGCUUGUGGGCAAAGCAGAGCCCAGCCAUAGGAGGUGGGAGGACAGUCCGGAGAGUGCUCCAUCUCAGGGCCGGCCAACUGGAGGUUUUGGUAAAACAAACAUGGAGAAUUUCCCUGGGAAAGAAUCUUGGGUACAGGAAGGACAGAGGUCACUUCUCUAGCUCUUCUUCAUCCCACUCCAUGGGAAUGUGGACAUAUGUCCUCUAGAAUGCAUCUUGCCAACAGGUAAGAUGGAGAUUGUCACUAGGAAAUACACAUGCAACAAGAAGCCUGCCUGGCUGAAGAAGUUUAUCUUUUCAUGAGAUACACUUUCCCUGAAGACAAACAAUAUAUGUUUAAACCCACUGUGUCUACUAUGGCCUGUCAUUGCCCCUUCCUCCCCCAAGGCAGCCUUUUCUGCCUUCUCAGUGUGACAGACAUUGUAUUUAUUGUAGCCAUGUAGUUGUUGAGAAACCAUGGCUGCCUCCAAACUUAAAACACUGGCUUAUUAGUCAGGGUUCUACAGAGAAACAGAACUGAGAGGAUAUGUGUGUACACACAUAGAUACAUAUAUCUACCCACAUGUGUGUAUGUCACGAGUGUGUGGGUACAGUCAUGCACUGAAUAAUGAUGUUUCAGUCACCGAUGGACUGCAUAUACAAUGGUGGUUCCAUGUGAUUAUAAUGGAACAUACACAGAAACCUGCUAAUGGCACUUGAUAUUGGCAUUGCAGGACAAGUAGGGGAAAUGAUUGAUAGUAAAGUGCUGGGAUGUUUGGUUUUUCGUAUGAAAAAAUAUAUAAAUAAUAUAUAAGCUGCCAUCUAGUUUCGUGUAAGUACAUGGCAUUUUUACACAAUGACAAAAUUACCUAACAACACUUUUUUCAGAACAUAUCCCUAUCAUUAAGCAAUGUAUGACUAAGUAUUAUAUAUAGAGAGCCUGAGAGCGAUUGAGAUUUAUUUUAAGAAAUUUGCGGCCAGGUGUGGUGGCUCACACUUGUAAUCCCAGCACUUUGGGAGGCCGAGGAGGGUGGAUCAUGAGGUCAGCUCGAGACCAUCUUGGCCAAUGUGGUGAAACCCCAUCUCUACUAAAAAUAUAAAAAAUUAGGCUGGGCGCGGUGGCUCACGCCUGUAAUCCUAGCACUUUGGGAGGCCGAGGUGGGUGGAUCACCUGAGGUCAGGAGUUCAAGACCAGCCUGGCCAUCAUGGUGAAACCCCAUCUUUAAAAAAAAAAAAAAUUAGCUGGGCGUGGUGGCGUGUGCCUGUAGUCCCACCUACUCAGGAGGCUGAGGCAAGAGAAUCCCUUGAACCAGGAAGGCGGAGGUUGCAGUGAGCCAAGAUCACGCCACUGCACUCCAGCCUGGGCAACAGAGUGAGACUCCGUCUCAAAAAAAAAAGGGCUCGGUGUGGUGGCUCAAGCCUGUAAUCCCAGCACUUUGGGAGGCCAAGGUGGGUGGAUCACGUAGACCAUCCUGGUCAACGUGGUGAAACCCUGUCUCUACUAAAAAUACAAAAAAUUAACUGGGCAUGGUGGCACGUGCCUGUAAUCCCAGCUACUCAGGAGGCUGAGGCAGGAGAAUUGCCUGAACCCAGGAGGCGGAGGUUGCAGUGAGCCGAGAUCGCACCAUUGCACUCCAGCCUGGGUAACAAGAGCGAAACUCUGUCUCAAAAAAAAAAAUAAACACAGAAAUUUGCUCACAUAUCCCAGCACUUUGGGAGACUGAGGCAGGAGGAGUGCUUAAGCCCAGGAGUUUGAGACCAGCCUGGGCAAUGUAAUGAGACCCCAUUUCUACAAAAAAUUUAAAAAUUAGUUGGCAUGGUAGCAUGUGCCUAUAGUCCCAGCUACUCUGGUGGCUGAGGUAGGAGUAUUACCUGAGCCCAAGAGGUGAAGGCUGCAGUGAGUCAUGAUAGUUGGAGACCAACCUGACCAACAUGGAGAAACCCUAUCUCUACUAAAAAUACAAAAAUUAGCUGGGCGUGGUUGCUUGUAAUUCCCUUGUAAUUCCAGCUACUCGGGAGGCUCUUUUUUUUUUUUUUUUUUUGGACGAGGUUUCGCUCUUGUUGCCCAUGUUGGAAUGCAAUGGUGCCAUUUCUGCUCACUGCAGCCUCUACCUCCUGGGUUCAAGCCUUCUCCUGGCUCAGCCUCAAACUCCUGACCUCAGGUGAUCCACCCACCUUGGCCUCCCAAAGUGUUGGAAAUACAGGCAUGAGCCACUCUGCCUAGCCUUUUAGUCUUUGUUUAAUAAAAAUGAUAACAAAAGUCCCUUUUACUCCUGGGAAGCCCAGCUCUAUUCCAUUCUCUUCUAGUGCAUAUCCUUCCAGACUAAGUUUUGAUGUUUAAAUACUAUGUAUUGUUAUAGAUGCGUUUUUUAUGUGUAUUCUAGUUGACAUAAAUAGUAUUAACAUAUCGCAUCUUGCCUUUUGUACGCUACAUUUUUUCUUUCUGAAAUCUGGCCAUGUUAAUGGAGUGAUUCAUUUUAACUGCCUUUUCUGCUUUAAGAAAAUUCUCUAUAUCCUCUAUAUUUUUCUUCCAGUACUAUUUCAUAUUUAGGGUUUUUUUUGGCUUUCAUGUGGAAAAUAUAUAAUAAGAUCUUCAUUUGGAAGGGAAAAACAAGCUUCAGAUGAAUUAAAAGUAUAUUUCAAGGCCAGGCAUAGUGGCUCAUGCAUGUAAUCCCAGCACUUUGGGAGGCCGAGGCGGGCUGAUCACUUGAGGCCAGAAUUUCGAGAUAGCCUGGCCAACAUGGCGAAACCCUGUCUCUACUAAAAGUACAAACAAAUUAGUCAGGUGGGGUCGAUCACACCUGUAAUCCUGGCUCCUCGAGAGGCUGAGGUGGGAGAAUUGCUUGAACCUGGGAGGCAGAGGUUGCAGUGAUCUCAGAUAGCACCACUGCACCUCAGCCUGGGCCACAGAGUAAGACUCUAUCUCAAAAUAAAUAAAUACAUACAUACAUACACAAACACACACACCACACACCCUAAAUGGAUUAAAAAUCCAGUGCACUGAUUAACAUGGUCUUGGUCUCACAUGUAUAGUCCCUAAAAAUAUUAAGGUCAGUGUUAUGGUUCUUUAUUCCCUUCUGAUAAUUUGUUCCUGCAUUAAUAUUAUGUUGUCUUAAUUACUACAGUUACCUACUGUGUUUUAAUAUUUGAUAGAAUCAGUUCAUCCUUUUCAUACUCCUGUUUCACAAUUGGCUUAGAUAUUCUUAGUUCUUCCCAUAUAAACAUUAAAAUAUUUUUCAAGUUUCCUAAAAUUUCUUAUUGGAAUUUCACUGAAGUUAUUGAUUACUUCGGAAAUAUUGACAUCUUUAAAAUGUUGUCCUCCCCUCUCCGUAAAUAAGGUCUCUCAUCUCAUUAAUCCAAAUCUUCUUCAUUUAUAGCCUUCAGUAAAGUUUUAUGAUGUCUUACCAAAGUUUCUUUUAGACUCGUGCCUAUGUACUUUCUAGUUUCGGUUACUAUACGAGUCAGUGUUUUUUCUUAGUAUUGCAUUCUCUAUUUGGUUAUUGCUAGUUUAAAGGAAUACUAUUGAUCUUUGAGUUUUUGUUUUGUUUUGUUUUCUGAGACAGUCUCACUCUGUUGCCUAGACUGGAGUGCAGUAGUGUGGUUUCAGCUCACUGCAGCCUCUGCCUCCCAGGUUCAGCCUCUCCUUUCUGAGUCUCCCAAGUACCUGAUGUUACAGGUGUGUGCCAUCAUGCCGGGCUAAUUUUUGUGUUUUUAGUAGAGAUGGGAUUUCACCAUAGUGGUCAGGCUGGUCUCGAACUCCUGACCUUAAGUGAUCCACCUUCCUCAGGCUCCCAAAGUGCUGGGAUUACAGGUGUGAGCCACUGUGCCCGGCCUGAAUUUGGAUUUUUGUUUCCAACAAUCUUGCAGCAUCCUCCUAUUAAUUCUAAUUGUUUGGAGGUUGGUCUUGAUAAUUAAAUGUAAUCAAGUGUCUGUAGGUCUUCAGUACUAUUUUGAAUUAUAAACUCUGUAAUUAUACUGCCAUCCACAAUUACAUAAAUUUCCCUGAGCAUAAUGUAACAUAGGGCAUUGACUCUGGAGCCAGGCUGUGUGCCAAGGGACAUAAAGAUGAAAGCAAUGGAGCCCCACUUCUGGGCGGUGACCAGGUAUGGCCUCAAAUUUACUCCUUCAAAAAUUUUAGUGUUGGCGGGGUGCCACUACACUCCAGACUGGCAACAGAGGGAGACUCCAUCUCAAAAAAAAAAUUUUUUUUCCGUGUUGGCCAGGUGAGGUGGCUCAUGCCUGUAAUCUCAGCACUUUGGGAGGCCGAGGUGGGUGGAUCACAAGGUCAGGAGGUCAAGACCAUCUUGGCCAACAUGGUAAAACCCCGUCUCAACUAAAAAUACAAAAAUUAGAUGGGCGUGGUGGCAUGUGCCUGUAGUUCCAGCCACUCAGGAGGCUGGGGCAGGAGAAUCACUUGAACCUGGGAGGCAGAGGUUGCAGUGAGCCAAGGUCGCACCAUUGCACUCCAACUUGGGGACAGAGGGAAAAUAUGUCUCAAAAAAACAAAACUCAGUGUUUAUGCAGGUUUUCAGACCACUGGGUUCUGAAACAGCCCGGGUUCCAGCAUUUUCUCAUUUGUAUGACCUUGGGAACUAUCUGUGCCUCAGAUUUAUCUGUAAAGUGGGAAUAUUAGUAAUAUCUACUCACAGGAGAUGGUGAGGAUUCUGAAUUAUUGCAUUUAUCUGGUCUAGUUUAAGCUUCUGAUAAGUGUUGAUCGUUACUCUUGAUAGCAUUACUGCAUUUUAAAAUUUCAACUGUCUUAAAACUUCUGAGUAGCACAGGAUUAUUAAGUUUAGAUUUAUUAGUGCUUUAUCAGAAAAUCAAUUUUUUUUUUUGUUUGUUUGAGAUGAGUUUGGCUGGGCGGGUGGCUCACACCUGUAAUCCCAGCACUUUGGGAGGCCAAGGUGGGUGGAUCACCUGAGGUCAGGGGUUCGAAACGAGCCUGACCAACAAGGUGAAACCCUGUCUCUUUAAAAAUAAAUAAAUAAAUAAGAGAUGAGUUCUCACUCUGUCACCUAGGCUGGAGUGCAAUGGUGCAGUCUCAGCUCACUGCAACCUUGGUCUUCCGGGCUCAAGUGAUUCUCCCACUUCAGCCUCCCAAGUAGCUGGAACCACAGGCACAUACUGCCACACCGAGCUAAUUUUUUUUGGGGGGGGGGGGGGGCGGGGAUUUUGGUAGGGAUGGGGUCUCGCUAUGUUGCCAGGCUGGUCGUGAACUCCUGAGCUCAUUAUCUGCCUGCCCCAGCCGCCCAAAGUGCUGGGAUUACAGGGAUGAGCCACCACGCCCAACCCAGAAAGUCAAUCUGUUCUCUUUUAUGAUUUGUUUUAAAAUGCUGUGCUUUGUUCACUGUCAUCGUAUUGCUUCCGGUAAGAUCACACCUGGUAUCCCUAAUAUAGGUCAAAAGGAAAAUUGCUUCACAACAAUUUGCUUGAGAAACUUUGCUGAAAGAUCUCUUGAUGGAUUGAUUGAGAUGGAGUUUUGCUCUUUUUGCCCAGGCUGGAGUGCAAUGGCGUGAUCUCAGCUCACUGUAACAUCCGCCUCCUGAGUUCAAGUGAUUCUCCUAUCUCACCCUGCGAAGUAGCUGGGAUUACAGGCUCACGCCAUCGCGCCCAGCUAAUUUUGUAUUUUUGGUAGAGACCAGGUUUCACCAUAUAGGCCAGGCUGGUCUUGACCUCAGGUGAUCCAUCCGCCUUGGCCUCCCAAAAUCCUGGGAUUACAGGUGCGAGCCACCAUGCCCAGAUUAUUUUUGCCUAUGAAGAUACCUUAUAACUCUGUAUUAAUUAGCUCUAGUCCUAGUUUUUUAAUAAUGAUAAAUCAGAGUGCAGAGUUUUCAAGUGGUUUGCAUUUUAUUUUUUGAGAAAAGGAGAAAAAUACCCUGAUGGUAAUUGAUUAGCUCAACAAGCACCCUGACACCUCACAUGCUCAGAUUGCUUGUGGUUGGUGGUAACUGAAAUGUGUGGCAGACAGCACAGCAAGCCUGGGAGCACUGCCCUGCACCACUUCAUUCACUGAAGAUGUUCUCUGGUCCAUGCCUUCCCCAGGGGCUUUUUUCUUGCUCCCAGACAACUGGCUCCAUCCCUUCCCAGUGCCCCCAUCAACCAGCCUGUUUUACUAGAAUGUGUCUUUAAAAGCACUAUUCUCUUUUUCUCAACUUCAGAAGAACAUAGACGAUCCCGAGACCCUGAAUGGCAUAGCUUGUCUCUUGCUUAGCGGGACCACAAAUGAAGGAUGCUUGGAGAAGAGCUUGGACAUGGGCAGGUCCUUUUCUUUGGUGGUCAGAUGACCUUGGCUCAUUGUGGAAUUUGUUAGAAAAUGGCUAACCCAGUGUUUAAAUAUCUGUUACUAUCCACCCUUCCUCCAUUAGCCAACCUACUGUAUAGGCACAGCAAUGUCCAACAGUGUAGGUGGAUCAGCAGUUGGACCAGGACAUUGAUAUGGUCAUUCACUGGGGCGACCACCCAUUUACAUUCUAAUUCCUGUCAGCGGCAGAAUGCUCAAAUGGAUGUUAAGAAUUGACAUUUCUCCUCAAGUGUAUCCCCAGCAAGUAGUCACACACUAUUUUUUUUUAGAGAAUAAAGGCUAAGAUUGAGAGUAACUCUAAGUUAUUCUGAUAGCUGUUUCCUGAGUCUCCUCUUAGCAGGAUUUGGAGAGUAUCUAGCAUUUUUAUGAAUGGUCAAAUCAGUUUCAGCAAGAGGCAAACUCCGUUUGUCAGCUGGUUGGUUUUUCCUGCCUACAUUUCAACUGCCUUGUCCUUCCUUUUUCUUUCCUGUGCAGCAGCCUUCAGAGAUUUAUAAGAAUUGGGUAACGUUUUCCCUUCCAAGGCAGAUUUUAAAAUGUUUUCUUCUUAGCCUUUCUCAUUAUCUUCAGGAUCUUGGUUAGAGAAACAAAUGUUUUUUUCUGUAAUUGAGAAAAAGGUGCCUUCAGUGACCACACUGGUCUGUGAUUUAAUCACUAGAUCUGAUUUGGGCUCUGCUAGACUACUUACAUUUUUCUCAGCAAUACCUACCUUUAAAAGAUCGGAGCAAUGAUGGACAUUUUGGUUUAUACUUUAUAUGGAAAUCCAAUUAAGAUUUUUCAAAUUUGGCUAAUUUGAAGACAUAGAUUCCUAAAUUAUUAUUCAAAUCUUUGAGGACAUAUCAAGAUUCCAUGCCAUGGGGACUGUCCGUGUCCCAACAUUGUGCUGCGUAUAGUGCAUUUCAUCACCGCUUCAAUAGCCAUCUCUAUGAAUGGAUAGAAGAAAGCAUGUUCAAAUUCUAUGAACAGAGUGUUUUCUCUUUCUUGCUUUUCCAGAGUUGGCUAUAGCUUUUAUCCUCAUUUGCAGAGAUCAAAAUCUGAUCUGCAGGAACCCUAUUUUGAUUGGCUGUCAGGCAUUCAUAGCUCUGUAACUAAAUACCAAUGUAUGAAAUGGUUAUUGUUCCCUGGAGUGGUGGGCCUGGGCCAGAACACAUUCUUUGUGAUUUCAAGGGGGCCAAAUGGAAGCUGUAAAUGUCCUGGCAGCCAAGUUGGGUAAACAUGAGCUCUUAUAACCUCAGAUACAAGAGCAGAAAGGUAGCUUGCCUUUUUUUUUUUUUUUUUUGAGACAGGGUCUCACUCUCAUCACUCAGGCUGGAGUGCAAUGGCGCGAUCUCAGCUCACUGCAACCUUUGCCUCCUGGGUUCAAGCGAUUCUCCUGCCUCAGCCUCCUGAGUAGCUGGGAUUACAGGCAUGAACCACACCAGGCUAACUUUUGUAUUUUUAGUAGAGAUGGAGUUUCACCAUGUUGGCUGGCCUGGUCUUGAACUCCUGACCUCAGGUGAUCUGCCCACCUCGGCCUCCCAAAGUGCUGGGAUUACAGGCAUGAGCCACCGCACCUGACCAUUAUAUAGUUGGAAUAACACACUGAAAUAAUGGAUCAGUGCAUAUCUUCAGCAAUGAACAGUGCAUUUGUUUACAGCAUGUUGCUGCAUGGGGUGAACCCUUAGGCUGGUAGCGACUCCAAGCUGUGGUUGGGUUUGCUAGUGCCAAGUUGUUUACGUGCCUCCCCUGGGCCCCUUCCUUCCCUGCUGCUCCUUCUUCCUCCCAGCCUGCUGAGCUUGCUGCCCCGACUCCCUUCCUCUCUCCUCUCCACUGAGGUUCUGCCAGCUGGAGAAAUUCCUCCCGUUGCCCUUCCACCUUUCUGAGAACUGUGGGUUGGCAAGGGACCAGGAUACUCCGUGACGGAAAGUGCUUUUGUGAAGGAUGCUGAGGUCUGUGGGCCUGCAGCCCCGGCCCAGGGUGGAAGUGAGGUCUUACGGGAGGACCCAGUGCCUGUUGCAGGUAGAGCCAGAGGGACUUUUGCAUCGAGUAGAUUCUGCACUUGCCUCUUUGUUUUUGUUUUGGGUCUCGUUCUGUCGCCCAAGCUGGAAUGCAGUGGCGUGGUCUCUGCUCACUGCAACCUCUGCCUCCCAGCUUCAAGCAAUUCUGUGCCUCAGCCUCCUAAGUAGCUGGGAUUACAACAUCUGGCUCAUUUUUUGUUUCACCAUGUUGGCCAGGUUGGUCUUGAACUCCUGACCUCAGGUGAUCUGCCGGCCUUGGCCUCCCAAAGUGCUGGGAUAGCAGGUGUGAGCCACCACAUCCGGCCUCUGUACUAUCUCUUGAAUGCCGCCUGGGUGCCAGAACCAGUGCCAGGCUGUGCCUCGUGCCUACUUGGUCUGGCCUCUUCCUUCUGUGCCUGCUUCCUUGAUGUUUUCUAUGGGCUGGGCUCAUUCUUACCGUGGAUUUCUUUGUAUUGACCACUUGGAUGAGUUUUGAAAAUCUUACAAUGUGGUGGAUAUUUUUAAGUACAUACUUGGUAUGCUCUGGGGGAAAGGCAGAUUUGACACACACAUACACACAAAAUCGAUAUGUAGUGUGAAUGGAGAGGCAGCGGCAGAGUGGGAAUUGUGUGAGGAAACUGACUCUUGCUUCAGAAAUGCUUGGAGCACUUGUGGUGUCCUGGGACGCCCUCUCUGGAAGGACUUUGGUGCCGGUGGAGGGACCACAUUCGGAGCCUGAGAGCAGUGUGCACUUUCAUCCACAGGCUUGAUUUGGUUUCAUUUUGCUUUUUGAGAAAGAAAGCAGCAUUGUGGAUGGAGGAGGGCUAGGAGGGUGGCAGCUGUUCUAAUAGGAACCAUUUUUACAGCAGAGAAGUGCCAUUCCUGAGAUCUCCAGAGCUGGCUUCCCUCCUCUCACUGUCCUAUCCAUUGUCCAUUGUUCUGUUGGCACAAUGGGGCUGAUUUUUCCAUAGGAAUCUGACUAAAUUUUGCAUAGCCGUACAGAGAACUGCCAGUUAGGGGGACAGAGUCAAGAGUGACACAGGCUCAAAUGCUGAGGGUUGCCUGUGCUUGGACUGUGUCUCAGAACUGCCCUACGCUUUGCUUUCAGUCAUCAGUUUUAUAUAGUUAAGAAAUAAAAAUAGCACUUUUUCUAAAGGAAAAAUAAAAUGGAUUAGUUUAUGGGAGGGACAGUCACACAUAGCUUUGAAAGGCUGCUUAGCUGGAGAGGGAGUGGGAGUCUUCAGCAUUGUUAACUUUAGCACACAGUGGGUGAUUGGGCACAUCAGAGGGAUACGACCCUGUUUUUCAAGCCUGGGUUCCAGGGGUGCAGCUGUUUUGGGCCAUUUACAGCAGUGGAAUUUGGAUGGUGCAGAUAUUGCCCAUAGAAGCUCACUCUUUCCCCUCCCUUCCCCUCCCUCCCUCCCUUCCCCUCCCUUUCUCCCUCCCCCCCCCACCUUCCUCCUUUUUUUUUUUUUUGAGAUGGAGCCUCACUCUAUCACUCAGGCUGAGUGUAGUGCCAUGAUCUCGGCUCACUGCAAUCUCCGCCUCCUGGGUUCAAGUAAUUCUCCUGCCUCAGCCUCCUGAGUAACUGGGAUUACAGGUACAUGCCCCCACACCCAGCUGCUUUUUUUGUUUUUGAGACGGAGUUUCCGCUCUUGUUGCCCAGGUUGGUGUGUAACGGCACAAUCUCGGCUCACUGCAACCUCCACCUCCUGGGUUCAAGCAAUUCUUCUGCCUCAGUCUUCCGAGUAGCUGGGAUUACAGGCUUGUGCCACCAUGCCUGGCUAACUCUGUAUUUUUAGUAGAGAUGGGGUUUCUCCAUGUUGGUCAGGCUGGUCUUGAACUCCCAACCUCAGGUGAUCUGCCCACCUCUGCCUUCCAAAGUGCUGGGAUUACAGGUGGAAGCCACCAUGCCCAGCCUGCAAAUUUUUGUAUUUUUAGUAGAGAUGGGUUUCGCCAUGUUGGCCAGGCUGUUCUCAAACUUCUGACCUCAGGUGAUCCAUCCUCCCCAGCCUCUCAAAGUGCUGAGAUUAGAGGUGUACCUGGCCCCAUAGAAGCUGUACCUGGCCCCAUAGAAGCUUUGUAAAAAGAAAAUGGAAUGAGAUUGAUCAGGGCUAUGUACUCGGAGUUGUGAGGCAGUGAUGUCUACGCUUGGCUGUUAACUUGGUGGUUUAUACGCUACAAGGCACAUAAAAUUAUUUGGGGGGAGAGGAGAAUGUGUGCUUUCCUAACUCUUACCAUGUCUUAGACACAGAGGGUCGUGAUUAACCAGCUGUUGAGGAUGUAGUUUUUCUCAACACUAAAUCAUUCUGUGAGAGAAGUCCAUAAACUUGACUGAUUUUAACGGCCUGUGAGUUGGAAAUCUUUAUGAGAAAUGCUGUUGAGGGAUAGGAAGUCAGUCUGGGAUGAUACGCACAGGGCGGAGGAGCUGGCCAUCAGUAGAGUGGUCCCAUUUGAUAAUGGAAAAACAUGUUGGACGGAAUGGAAAUGUUCCCAGUCAAGAUACCCUCAUGCCCAGAGCCAAGAAAAUCUUUAGACCAACCUCCGUCGGCGUCAGUUUCUCCUUCCUCAGUUUCUCCACGCUCCUCCCCGUGUCCCCCGAUCACGUAGAUUGUGUGAGUAGUUGUUCUGUUGUCUUUGAAAAGAUUGAUUUAUACAUUUGUACAGAAAAUCCCAGAGCCUUUUCCUCUUAAUGCUAUAAAGUAGCCAUUUAAUGAGGCGUUUGGAAGGCCACCCAGCCACUUGAAAUCUGAAGUGUCAUGCUGAGGGAUUGUUACCAAGAAGUAUUUAUGUUGGAGUCAAGGUUUUAGCUCUCUUUUGGCAAUUGAUUAAUUUACUGUGAGAGCCAAUAAGUCCUUGGACAGAUGAGGAACAGAUUGGAGGGGAGGAGCUUCUGUUUCGGCCCUUUCUCUUGGAAUGUUUUUAACACUUGGCGGAGGGACAACUGUGUCUUUUUGUUUUGUUAAAUAGUUCAAGUUGGCCAUUUUCUGGUGCUCUUCAGAAAAGCCUGUCAGGAGGAUGGGAGGGAAGUGCCUGGGUCUCCUGGUCCCUGGCUUCACACGGACCUCACGCUCCUGUUGAGAAAAUGUUUGAAAUGCGUUUUCUUAAAAGUAGGACUGUGUAAAUAAUAGAUUAGGUCUGAAAGGGCCAUCUGAGUAUAAAGGCAGUAGGAGCCUUGCAUGGAAAGCUGCUUACUCACCAACGCUAGUUUUAAGUGUUGGAAGAAAAACGGUGCCACUUUCUAGAAUUUGGAAGUGGGCCUGGUGGUGGCCCUACUGUGUCCGAGUAAGGGUCUCCUCUCCUUGGAGGCAUUAAAAGACAUGGGGACCAGGUGCAGUGGCCCACGCCUGUAAUCCCAGCAUUUUGGGAGGCUGAGGUGGGCAGAACGUUUGAGGUCAGGAGAUCGAGACCAGCUUGGCCAACAUGGUGAAAUCCUGUCUCUACUAAAAAUACAAAAAUUAGCCAGGCAUACCUUGUAAUCUCAGCUACUCAGGAGAUUGAGGCCAGAGAAUCGCUUGAACCCAGAAGGCAGAGGUUAUAGUGAGCCCAGGUGGUGCCACUGCAGUCCAGCCUGGGUGACAGAGAGAGACUGUCCCCCUCCAAAAACAAAAACAAAGCCCCCAAAAACAAACCACAUAGGAAGCAUUGCUCUCCUGAGCAUUGACAAGGCUGGGGUAUUCUUUUUUGUGUGUGUGGAGAGACCAAGAGAAGCUGUGGGGCAGUGCUGUCCAUUAGAACUUAACGGGUGAUGCCGUGUUACGUGAGGUGGCCAAACGGCAGCCACUAGCCACGUGCAAAACGUGAUGCGCCUGACCCAAGAAUUGAAUUUUUCAUUUUAAUUAGGUUUAAGUAGCAGCAUGUGGCGAGUGGGUAUCCUGUUGGACAGUGCAGUGCUGUGGGCCUUUUUAAUGCUUUUGCAAAAUGACUCUAUUAACCCUCUUUGAUUUUUCACAGCCUGCUCACAGGGGAUGGAGGUUAGGUAGAGGGUCAGUUCCCGGUAGGGAAAAAUGAAGAAACCAAAUGAAUGGCUCAGAUCAUGGACUAGUAAAAACAGCCAAGCCGGGCCUAGAGCCAGGGCCCCUUCUUCCCCGACUCCCACCCCCUCCAGCCGCUCAGAACCCAGCUUUAGAUGUUAAUUACUAGUACUGCUUAGCAGGGUACCCCAACCACAAAGGGAAGGCUGGCUUAACAUUUGGAAUCUUGGCUGUGAGCUGUGUAUUUAAUCUUCUCCUUUUAAAUCAAACAGGCUUAAUGAGCGGCGAGAGUUGGGAAGUCCCUGUGGGCCCCUAAAUCCAAGGAGGAGUUUCUCUGGAACCAGAGGAAACAGGCCAGACAGGUGGAGUAAUAGUAACUCCCCUCCCGCCUGGCUGCCUGUGCUUGCCCUUGUCUGUGGCAAUUAGAUGGGGGGAAGAAGGACCUGUGGAGACUGGUGGUCCUAGUCUCCUAUACUUACUAUGCUGUAAGGAGGCCAGACCCCGGGACACAUGGCAUCCACCUGGAUAAUUCCUUGCUAUCAGUGCGUCUGGCAGCCAUAUUAACAUGCCCCUUGCUGUGCCAUAUCAGCCAGGACCCUGAGCCGAGUGCCGUCAUUGACUCAGCCCCAUCCUCACCUUCUUUCAUUCUUGAUGUUCCCUCUCAUCCUGGAGGACUGUAAGGAAAGCUCAGGGUUUGGUUUUUUUUUUUUUUUUUUUGAGACAGAGUCUCAUUCUGUCGCCCAAGCUGGAGUGCAAUGGUGCAGUCUUGGCUCACUGCCACCUCCGCCUCCCAGAUUCAAGCGAUUCUCCUGCCUCAGCCUCCCAAGUAGCUGGGAAUACAGACAUGUGCCACUAUGCCCAGGUAAUUUUUGUAUUUUUAUUUUUAUUGAUUGAGAUGGAGUUUGGCUUUUGUUGCCCAGGCUGGGGUACAGUGGCAUGAUCUCAGCUCACUGCAACCUCCACCUCCCAGUUUCAAGCAGUUCUCCUGCCUCAGCCUCCCAAGUAGCUGGGAUUACAGGCAUGUACCACCACACCUAGCUAAUUUUGUAUGUAGUAGAGACAGUUUCACCAUGUUGGCCAGGCUGGUCUCAAACUCCUGACCUAAUGCUAUCCACCCAUCUGGGCCUCCCAAAGUGUUGGGAUUAUAGGAGUGAGCCAGCAUGCCUGGCGGUUUUUCCUUUUUUUCUUUUUUUGAGAUGGAGUUUUGCUCUUGUUGCCCAGGCUAGAGGGUCAUGGUGUAAUCUUGGUACUGCAACCUCCACCUCCUGGGUUCAAGUGAUUCUCCUGCCUCAGCCUCCCGAGUAGCUGGGACUAUAGUCACGGGCCACCAUGCCCAACUAAUUUUGUAUUUUUAGUAGAGACGGGUUUCUCUGUGUUGGUCAGGCUGGUCUUGAACUUUCAACCUCAGGUGAUCCACCUGCCUCACCCUCCCAAUGUGGUGGGGUUACAGGUGUUAGCCACCAUGCCCGGCCAGUUUUUCCAUUUCUCAGGGCACUGGAGAGGAGUUGGCAUCGUGGGCAGGGUACUGAGCCACUGAGGCAGGGAGAUCCAGGUGGGAAUGCUGAACACUCGCCAACACUGUCAAUCACAGCAGAGCCUUCCCCAUUGCUCCCAGUACAUUUUUGCCAUUGCCAGUCUCAUCCCAUGCCCAAACCAUGCCAGUGUGCCCAGCGGAGCCAAGGAGAGGCAAGACUGAUACUGUUAUCAAAGGGUUAAUAAGUAAUUAGAAGGGAAAUCUGCUGUGACAAAUCCAAGCCACCAGCCAUGGCUGCUUUUUGUUUUCUUUGGAGACAGGGUUUUACUGUUUUGGCCAGUCUGGAGCACAGUGGUGCAGUCGCAGCUCACUGAGGCUUCAACCUCCCAGGCUCUGCCAGUCCUUCCGCCUCACCUCCUGAGUGCUCUGACUGCAAGUGUGCACCACCAUGCCUGGCUAACUUUUUACAUUUUGUGUAGAUACGGGGGUCUCAAUACGUGUUGCCCAGGCUGGCCUUGAACUCCUGGGUUCAAGCAUUUCUCCUACCUCAGCCUCCAAAACUGCUGAGAUUACAGGUGUGAGACACCAUGCCCCGCCUCUAACUCUUAACAAAACUCAUUUCUGGAUCACCUUCUCCUCAGGGUCUCUACCCAUCUUUCUUUUCUCUUUUUUUUUUUUUUUUUUUGAGACAGAGUUUCGCUCUUGUCACCCAGGCUGGAGUGCAAUGGUGCGAUCUCGGCUCACCGCAACCUCCGCCUCCUGGGUUCAGGCAAUUCUCCUGCCUCAGCCUCCUGAGUAGCUGGGAUUACAGGUACGUGCCACCAUGCCCAGCUAAUUUUUUUUGUAUUUUUAGUAGAGAUGGGGUUUCAUCAUGUUAACCAGGAUGGUUUCGAUCUCUUGACCUCAUGAUCCACCCGCCUCAGCCUCCCAAAGUGCUGGGAUUACAGGUGUGAGCCACAGCAUCCGGCUGUACCCAUCUUUCAACCCAUGUUACCUGUUGCUCUGCUCACCAGCAGUAACCACAGCAGAUCACGGAACAAGAUCUUAUAAACAUCAAGGGCCAAGAUGUAUUUACUGUUUACUGAUAGGGAGAUCACAGGAUAUAGUGUUCACACUGGGCACUUCUGAGAGCAAAAGAGAGCACUGAUAAUUAUGCUGGAAUAAACCAGGAUGAUCUAAGAACAGCAGGGCAGGUUGGGCAUCUACUGUGUGCCAGGCUGUGCCUGAGUUUGGGGUACACAGGUGUAGUGGGCCUAGUUUCUUUUUGAGGGGUAUGGGGAAGUCUUGCUCUGUCAUCCAGGCUGGAAUACAGUGGUGGGACCACAGCUCUCUGCAGCCUCGACAUCCCAGACUCAAGCGAUUCUCCCACCUCAUCCUCCCAGCUAGCUAGGUCCACAGGUGUGCACCAACACACGAGCUAAUUUUUUUGUAUUUUUCUGUAGGGAUAAGGGGGUCUCGCUGUGUUGCUAAGGCUGGUUUUGAACUUCUGGACUCCAGCGAUCCUCCUGCCUUGGCCUCCCAAAGUGCUGGGAUUAUAGGUGUGUGCCACUGUGCCCAGCUGGGCCUAGUUUCUUAAGGAGCUCACAAUCUGAUGGUGGAGACAGGUGUGUAGACACAGGCAGUGCUACAGUGUGGGUGCUGAAACAGGUGUGAACAAAGUAUGGAGUGGGAGGAGCAAUGGAGAGGGCAAGGGGGGGCUUUUCUAGAGGGAGGCAGACAAAAACUAAGCUUUGCUUUUUCCUGUCAUGGCUUAUUUCUCCAAGAAAAUAUUUUUUGGAUAAUCUUGAAACUAUUAAACUUAUAUUCACUGACUGGGGCCUUCCGCCCUUGCCCUUGUGAGGGUUGUUUGUGUUGGCCUUGGCAGAGUUAGGUCGUGGUGAAGACCGGAGAUAGCAAUCAUCCUUGAGACCAUCCUGGCCCCACGUUACUGCUUAGCCCGCCACUGAUUGCGGUAUGCAUUAAAAAACAAAAACCUGGCUGGGCGCUGUACCUCAUGCCUGUAAUCCCAACACUUUGGGAGGGCAAGGUGGGAGGAUUGCUUGACCCCGGGAGUUCAAGACCAGCCUAGGCAACAUGGUGAAACCCUGUCUCUACAAAAAACAAAAAUUAGCCAUGCAUGGUGGUGCACACCUGCAGUCCCAGCUACUCAGGAGGGCGAAGGAAGGCACGAGAAUCACUUGAACCUGGGAGGUGGAGGUUACAGUGAGCCGAGAUCCUGCCACUGCACUCCAGCCUGGGUGACAGAGUGAGACUCUGUCUCAAAACAAAAUGCCAAAAAGCUUAAUGCAUGGAUAAUGAAUGAAUGUCCGUGAGUAUAGAGAGACUUUCCAGAAGAAUGAAUGUAGUGAUGAGCCAUGUCUAAGUCUGUCUUAAAGUGUAAAUCACCGCGCGUAGGCUCUUACUCUAUUCUUCUUAUACUGUUUAGUUUCUCAGCAGGGAUUGUGUGUGUGUGUGUGUGUGUGUGUGCUACAGUUACUAAAAAUUUCAGACUAGUAAGAAAAAAUUAGCUUAGGCAUUUGUUAGCAUGAAGUUGUAUAGAAAUUGCUGAGUUUAGUCUGCUAUCAGCAUAUUGCUUUUAUUUAUUUUUAUUUUUAUGUUUUAGGUGCAGUUUUGCUCUUGUCACCCAAUGGUGAUGUAAUCUCAGUUCACUGCAACCUCCGUCUCCCAGGUUCAAGAGAUUCUCCUGCCUCAACCUCCCAAGGAGCUGGGAUUGCAGGCAGGCGACACCACGCCUGGCUAAUUUUUUUUUUUUGUAUUUUUAGUAGAGAUGGGGUUUCAUCAUGUCGGCCACGCUGGUCUUGAACUCCUAACCUCAGGUGAUCCACCUGCCUCGGCCUCCCAGUGUGCUGGGAUUACAGGAGUGAGCCACAGCAUCCAGUCAGCACAUUGCAUUUUAAGGGUGCUCUAUAUGAGUAGAGUUUGCACUGAAGUUUUGACCGAAAGAAAUUUAGUCUUCAGGCCUGGCACAGUGGCUCACACCUGUAAUUCCAGCACUUUGGGAGGCCAAGGCGGGCGCAUCAUCUGAUGUCAGGAGUUCGAGACCAGCCUGCCCAAGAUGGUAAAACCCUGUCUUUUCUAAAAAUAUAAAAAAUUAGCUGGGCAUGGUGGUGGGCACUUGUAAUCCCAGCUACUCGGGAGGCUGAGACAGGAGAAUUGCUUGAACCCAAGAGGCAGAGGUUGCAGUGAGCCCAGAUGGUGCCAAUGCAUUCCAGCCUGGGUGACAGAGCAAGGCUUCAUCUCAAAACAAACAAAACAAAAGGAAAUUUAGUCUUAAGCCUUUCAUUCCCCUAAGCUCUGGCCUCAGCUGCAGCUGCAUCUGGCCUACGAUUGAAUGGACUAGAAGCCAGGCACGGUGGGGUGUAGGAUUUCAACAGUGGUCUCAGUCCAGAUUUUCCUGCUAUGGGCUGAGUGACAUCAAGGAGAUUGGGCCAUUCUUGAUGUUUUUUCCCUUCCCAGCUUUUAUGCAUUGCACUAAUAAGAUCAGAAUUAUUUUUAAAGGGAGAAUUUUCCUCAGUCCCACCACCCAGUACAUUUAUUCUUUUUUUGGUUGUUUUUUUUUUCUUUUUUUUCCUUCUUACACCCAGUACAUUUCAACUGUAUUUUGCUUUUCCAAGCACUUCCAGACCCCUGUCUGCAUGCACACUCAGAAUAACAUGGUUAUGAUUAUGCUGUAUCCUGGCUUCAUUUUAGUCUGGUUUUUCUAUAGUCUGAAAUUAAGUUUGGGGUGAGCCGGUGUGGCCUGAGGAUUGAAAGAUAAUGUCCUAAGUAUGGCUCUAUCCUCAGCCCAAUGAAUCCCUAACGCUGCUUGAGGGAAAUGCCCCCGAAGGUAAACCAAAAGGUUACUCAGGUGCUAGAAAGUUAUUCUGGAGUUCAUUACCUCAUUUCCUCAAUCUUGUCCCAAUCUUGCCCUUUCUUCUUUUCUUUUCUAUUUAUUUUUUCCUUUGAGAGGGAGUGUCACCCUGUCACCCAGGCUGGAGUGCAGUGGGGUGAUCUCGGUUCCCUGCAACCUCUGCCUCCCGAGUAGUUGGGUUUAUAGGCAGGCACCACCACGCCCAACUACCUUUUGUAUUUUUUAGUGGAGAUGGGGUUUUACCAUGUUGGCCAGGCUGGUCUUGAACUCCUGACCUUGUGAUCUGCCCGUCUCUGCCUCCCAAAGUGCUGGGAUUACAGGAGUGAGCCAUCGCGCCCAGCCUCCUUUUCCUUUUUUUGCCAAGUGCAGUGGACUGAACAUUUCUGUCCCCGUAAAAUCCAUAUAUUGAAAUCCUAACCCUGAAGGUUGAAGGUCUCAGGAGGUGGGACCUCUUGGAGCUGGUUAGGUUGGAGGGUGGAACUCUCAUGAAUGGGAUGAGCGCUGUUACGAAAGAGGCCUCUGCCAUGUGAGGACACACCAGAACACAGUCAUCUGUGAAUGGCCUCUCACCAGGUUCCACCAGUACCUUGAUCUUGGCCUUUCUGGCCCCAGAACUGUGAGAAAGAAAUUUCUGCUGUUUAUAAGCCACCCAGUCUAUGGUAUUUUGUGAUAGCAGCCCAGAUGGAAGAAGCUACCAAGAUACUUUUAGCUCACUGACACAUCUUCUGUUGGGAUUUGUCAGAAAGACGAUCUUCUCAUUUUGCUGAGCCGAUAGAGUGACUUUAAAUUCUGCCCGGAGCCUUACAUGAACAUAUUGUAAAUCCUCUUCCUCUUUUUUUUUUCACUCAGCCACAAAACACGCUUACCUCCCUCAUGCAGGCGCCUCUACCUUUUCCCUUCCUCACUGUCUGCUCCCACCCUUUCUAAAGACGAUGUUACUGUGUUGACGCCCGCGCUGGGAAGCCUUUCCCACCUCACUCUUCUUUCUUCAUGGCUGUCGAUAGUAGCGGGGGCCAUGUUCCAGCCUCUGUCAGGGAACUGGCUUUAUUAAGCACCAAUGCUGUGCUUAAUACCUUCUCACUGUAACCCCCAGCCACACUGUGCAAUAGCAGUUUGUUCCAUUUUGCUCAUGUGGAGGCUGCAUGUUGGAAUUUCAGAAUUGUGCACAAGGACACAGACUCGGGAGCACUAGGAUCCAGAGCUGGUUGACUUCAGAGCCUGGCAUUUCCCAUUGGACCAUGCUUUGUGUCUGCCCUCUCUGACAUCUCCCAGGUAUUGUGACGGAAAGGUAGAAAAAAAAUAGACUACUCUAGGCGUACACCUGUGGGGCUGGAGACUCAAUUGAGAAUGCGUGUCAGCUGGUUUCUUGGAGGUAACUGUUGGCAGAGUUAGCUCAUCCUAGUGACUUUAUUGCCUCAUCAGAUUCCUGUAUGAUACUCUCAGGCACGUGUGUGUGUGUGUGUGUGUGUGUGUGCUCGCGCGUGCAUUUUAAAUAUCCACCUACCUAGGAUCUCAGUUCAGUGCCUAGAUUUUGAGUUCAUCUACCUCAGUAGUGUUUUAAACCUUGGACUUUCCCCAGCUUCUUUCCCCAGAUAGAAUUCAUCUGCUCAGAAAAAGUUUAGUGAAUUGCUGCUACAUGUCAGGCCGUGUGCUGAGGGCUGGAUAUUAAAUCCAGAGAAACCGUUAAAUAGUUUAAAGUUCUGUUUCUCAAACAAGGAUUUCUGAGCUUUUAGAGAUGCAUAAGAAUUUUUAAAAUUGUGUUUGUCACAAUGAUUUUAUUUUACUGGCUGGAUGCAGCGGCUCAUGCCUGUAAUCACAGGACUUUGGGAGGCCAAGGUGGGCAGAUCACUUGAGCUCAGGAGUUUGAGACCAGCCCCGGCAACAUACUGAGAUCCUGUAUCCUCAAAAAUUUUUUAAAUUAGCCAGCCAUGGUGGCAUGCACCUGUAGUUCCAGCAACUUGGGAGGUUGAGGUGGAAGGAUUGCUUGAGCCUGGGAGGUCAAGGCUGCAGGGAGCCAUGAUUGUGCCAUUGCACUCUAGCCUAAGUGACAGAGACCCUGUCUCAAAAAAAAAAAGUUACAAAGAAAGCUUCUUUUAUAGCAAUAUUUUACAGCUGAAAGAUAGAGCAAUAAAAUCAUAUUUUAUUUUAUUUUUGAGACGGAGUUUUGCUCUUGUUGCCCAGGUUGGAGUGCAAUGGUGCGAUCUCAGCUCACUGCAAUCUCUGCCUCCCGGAUUCAAGCUAUUCUCCUGCCUCAGCCUCACGAGUAGCUGGGAUUACUGGCAUGCACCACCAUGCCUGGCUGACUUUGUAUUUUUAGUAGAGGCAGGGUUUCUCCAUGUUGCUCAUUGGUCAGGCUUGUCUUGAACUCUGAACCUCAGGUGAUCCGUCUGCCUCGGCCUCCCAAAGUGCUGGGAUUCUAGGCAUGAGCCACCACAGCCAGCCAAUAUUUUGUUUUCAUAAAUCAAUGUUACUCAAAUGAGAGCUCUGGAUGUGGGGUGGGGGAUUUGGUGAGGCUUUUUUCCUUUAAAAUGGGCCUAUACAUUACUCAUGUGAAAAAUACAAGGUUAAACUAUUUUUUUUACCUUCUGCAGAAACAUAUUUUAAAAUAUUUUUUGAAUUAGCACCAACAGUGUAUGAACUUGAACGCUGAAGUUUAGGGCACCAGGACUGUGUCAGGCCAAUGGGGAACAUAUUCCUGGGAAGGUAAACCUUGAGUUUCUCUUACUACAGUGCGAAAAUUGUGUUCCUGCCUCUGAAGUCUGUGGGCAGCCUAAACUGCUUUUCAUCUUCUCUGUGGAACUUUCCUAGCCAGCCAGUAUGAUCCAUGUCCUCAGCCCUCGGAGUGUUGUCCACACCUCUGUUAUUCUCUGUGUUGUCCUGAUGUUCACAUGUAAGUCGCAGGUGCUGUGUGUUCGGAAGAAUCGCCGGCUGAAGUUGCACUUGAGAUCCCAACUGUCGCUGACAUGGAAUCUCUGUGUUCCCCCAGCAUCACUGAGUGCCUUCUAUUGAUGUGAAAUGAAAUGUUCUCUUUUUCUGGGGCUAGGGCAGAAAAAGAAGUAGCAUGCAGGUGAGGCACGGUGGCUCGUGCCUGUAAUCCCAUCACCUUGGGAGGCCAAGGUGGAUAGAUCAUGAGGUCAGGAAUUCCAGACUGGCCAAGAUAGUGAAACCCCGUCUCUAAUAAAAAUACAAAAAUUAGCUGGGCGUGGUGAUGAGCGCCUGUAAUCACAGCUACUUGGGAGGGUGAGUCAGGAGAAUUGCUUGAACCCGGGAGGCGGAGGCUGCAGUCAGCCAAGAUUGUGCCACUGCCCUCCAGCUUGGGCCACAGAGCAAGACUCUGUCUCAAAAAACGAACAAAAGUAUUAGCAUGCAGAAAGUUUCCAACAUCCAACGAAUCAGUCUAGUUAAGUACAGAAGAGACACAUAUGAAACAGGAAAAUGCAGAUGAUAUAAGGUCUCAUUUUGUUUGUUGGUUUUUUUGUGUGUGUUUUUAUUUUAUUUUUGAGACGGUGGCUCAUUCUGUUGCCCAGGCUGGGGUGCAGUGCCAAAUCUCAGCUCACGGCAACCGCCACCUCCCAGGUUCAAAUGAUUCUCCUGCCUCAGCCUCCUGAGUAGCUGGGAUUACAGGUGCCUGCCACCACACCUGGCUAAUUUUUUUUGUGUGUUUUUACUUUUAGACAGGGUUUCACAAUAUUGGCCAGGCUGGUCUCAAACUCCUGACCUCAGGUGAUCUACCCGUCUCCACCUCCCAGAGUGCUGGGAUUAUAGGCAUGAGCCAUUGCACCCGGCCAGUUUUGUGUAUCUUUUCUCCCUACCUCUAGAGGGUGGACACUCAACAUUUGUUUCCUCCCUGGAGUCAACUAUGUUACAGGCAUUUUGUUUAGUGAUGAACUCAUAUGAAUCAUACCAAAAGUACAGAGUAUGGAAGUGUAACCAGGUAUCCCACGUUCUUGGGCUCCUUCGCCCCAGGAAUGGGGGAGAGGCCCUGGCGGCAUGGUGAGGUUACCUGCUAAGUAAAUAUAGGAACCAAAGAGUUUUGCAGAGAGAGAUUUAUGAGAGAGAGAGAGAGAGGUAGAGAGAGAGCUCCCAUGCUGUUGUGGGAGGGGAUCCCAGAGAGGGAAAUGCGCGCAGGCAAGGUGCAGUGGAGUUUUAACUUUGAAGUUAUUUCUGCUCCAUUUAUGUUCUUGUCCAAUGAGAGGAGUUCUUUCAAACUUCCCCUGGAGUCAUUGAUCCUUGACUCUGAUUCCAGAUUGGUUGCUUGGGCCCACAACUGAGCGUCUCCUUCCAGGGCAUUCGGCGGGCUUUCUGAACAAAGGAAGCCCACCUAGAAUUUUACCUAGCUCAGGCGUGGGAAAGUUAGACAAAGAACUCUAGGUUCCCCGAUGCAGAGGCGGAUGGAGGCAUGGCGCUGGGAAGUUCUUGCCUUUGAAACCAUGCCCCUUAUGGACCCAGGAAGAGAAGUUAGCAUAGUCCCUCAGUAGGAUCCAGACCUGGCUUCUUCAAAUGGUUGGACCAUUCUUGCCUCUGUAGGAUUAUCUGCUUCUAUCAGUUUAUCGAUAACUGCACGUAGUAUAUGGCCAAUGAUAAAAGUGGACAUAUGGCUUUAAAGCUGGGCUUCAGGACAGUAGGAAGGAGCCCUAGUAAAUUAGGCUCCUCUGGCAGUUGCCAGGGAGGGGGAAAGGACAAGAGAUGACUUACAUAAAAUGCUGACAUGGCCAGGGCAGUCCUGUUGAAGCUGUUGGGUGAAGGUGAGUGCUUUAGGGGUUUGAUGCAGAGAGCUUUUCUCAGAGCUGCUCUCCUGCCAUCCCCAAAGUUUGUGCUGGGGUGUGUGUUGAGGAAAACCCCAUCAGAAAUGCUUAGAGGAUUUUGCUGAUUAAUUUUCUACUAAAAGUGAGUUUCCUAAAUCUUCCUGGACAAAUACUUACUACUCAUUGAGAUACAGUUUUUCUGGUUUUCCUGAACACUAGUGUGUUGCCAGUUUAAAAAGGGGAAGGGGAGAUGGAGGCAAGAGCUGACCUUUCUAAGAACUUGUUAUACUUGCCAAGCAUUUUUAAUAUGCAUUUAGGCUAAUGCUAUAAAAAUAGGUGACUUUGGCCAGGCGCGGUGGCUCACACCUGUAAUCCUAGCACUUUGGGAAGCCAAAGCAGGUGGAUCACUUGAGGUCAGGAAUUUGAGACCAGCCUGGCCAACAUGAUGAAACCCCAUCUCUACUAAAAAUACAAAAAUUAGCCAGGCAUGGUGGCAUGUGUCUGUAAUCCCAGCUACUUGGAAGGCUGAGGCACAAGAGUUGCUUAAACCCAGGAGGCAGAGGUUACAGUGAGCCAAGAUCACGCUUCUGCACUCCAGCCUGAGCAACAGAACGAGACUCUGUCUUCAAAAAAAAGAAAACAAAAAAAGUGGCCGGGCGCGGUGGCUCAAGCCUGUAAUCCCAGCACUUUGGGAGGCCAAGGCGGGUGGAUCACGAGGUCAAGAGAUUGAGACCAUCCUGGUCAACAAGGUGAAAUCCCAUCUCUACUAAAAAUAUAAAAAAAUAACUGGGCAUGGUGGCGCGUGCCUGUAGUCCCAGCUACUCAGGAGGCUGAGGCAGGAGAAUUGCCUGAACCCAGGAGGCGGAGGUUGCGGUGAGCUGAGAUCGUACCAUUGCACUCGUCUGGGUAACAAGAGUGAAACUCCAUCUAAAAAAAAAAAAAAAAAGUGACUUGAAGGAUCUUGAUUUUUGUCUGUUUCAAAUUGGAGAAGUAUAUACUUCUCAAUCAAUUUUCAGUACCUUUGUGAGGGGACAUAAAUAGUGUUGGGGAGUCCACACACCUACAUCUGAGGUUUUUGUUUUUGAGAGAGAGUUUUGCUCUUGUCGCCCAGGCUGGAGUACAGUGGCGCGAUCUUGGCUCAACGCAACCUCUGCUUCCUGGGUUCAAGCAGUUUUCCUGCCUCAGCCUCCCAAGUAGCUGGGAUUACAGGGAUGUGCCACUACACUUGGCUAAUUCUUUAUUUUUAGUAGGAACGGGGGUUUUGCCAUGUUGGUCAGGCUGGUCUCUAACUCCCAAUCUCAGGUGAUCUUCCCACUGGCCUCCCAAAGUGCUGGGAUUACAGGUGGGAGCCACCAAGGCCAGCCUUUUGUUUUUGUUUUUAACAGUUUUAUUGAGAUUACGUUAUUACACAUUUCAUGCAUUUAAAGUUUACAAUAAAUGGUUUUUAAGUAAAUUCAAGCAGAUCUGCAGACAUCCCUCUAUCUACUUUUAGAACAUUUUAAUCACCCCAAAAAGAAACCCUGCAUCCAUUAGCAGUCACUCUUCCUCCCCCACAGCACUUCCCAUUCCCUGGCAACCACUCAUCUAUUUGCUAUGUCUCUGAAUUUCCUUUUCUGCACACUUCAUGUAAAUGAAAUCUAUGUGGUCUUUUGUGACUGGCUUCUUUUCACUAAGCAUAUUUUCAGUGUUCAUACAGGUGUGAUAUAUGUCACUACUUCAUUUCUUUUUAUCACCAGAUGGCAGUCCAGUGUUCUGUAUUCACCAGGUGAUAGAUAUUGGGGUUGUUUCCACAUUUUUGCUAUAGUAACUAAUAAGAACAUUCAUGUUCAAGAUUUGUGUGGACAUAAUGUUUUCGUUUCUCUUGGGUGUAUACUUAAGAGUGGAAUUGCUGGGUCAUUUGGUAAUUCUAUGUUUAACAUUUUGAAAAACUGUGAAACUUUUCUGACGUAACUACACAAUUUUACAUUCCUGCCAACAAUGAGUGAGAGUUUCAGUUUCUACGCAUCCUCACCAACGCUUGUUAUUAUGUCCUUUUUAAAAAUUAUCACCAGCCGGGUGAGGUGGUUUAUGCCUGUAAUCCCAGCACUUCGGGAGGCUGAGGUGGGUGGAUCACCUGAGUUCAGGAGUUCGAGACCAGCCUGGCCAGCACAGUGAAACCUCGUCUCUAUUAAAAAUACAAAAAAAUGAGUGGGGCAUGAUGGCAAGCCCUGUAAUCCCAGCUACUAGGGAAGGCUGAGGGAGGAGAUGAGCCGAGAUUGCGCCAUUGCACUUCAGCCUGGCAAUAAGGGGGAAACUGUCUCAAAAAAAAAAAAAAAAAAAAAAAACCAACUAUUGCCAAUCUAAUGUGUAUGAAAUGGUCUCUCAUUGUGGUUUUGAUUUGCGUCUGUCUGAUAACUAAUGAUGUGUUACGGAUCUUUUCCUGGGUUUAUUGUCCAUUUUUGUAUAUCUUCUUUGGAGAAACAUCUGUUCAGAUCUUCAGCCUGUUACUCAGUUGAAUUAUCUGUUUACUAUUUAAUUGUUACAGGGAUUGAUUUGGAUACAUUCUCUUUUUUUUAUUUUUUAGACAGAGGCUCAUUCUGUUGCCCAGGCUAGAAUGCAGUGAUACAAUGUCCGCUCACUGUAACCUCCACCUCCCAGGUUCAAGCAGUUCUCCAGCUUCAGCCUCCCAGUAGCUGGUAUUACAGGUGUGCAUCAUUACACUCGGGUAAUUUUUGUAUUUUUAGUAGAGAUGGGAUUUCACCAUGUUGGCCAGGCUGAUCUCCAACGCCUGACCUUAGGUGAUCCACAAUUUUAUACUGCGCCCAGCCUGGAUACAUUCUUAACCCAAUUCCCUUAUUAGAUAUGAUUUGCAAAUAUUUUCUCUCCUGUGGGUUGCUUUUGUCAUUUUCUUGAUGAUAUCCUUUGAAACACAAACACUUUUAAUUUUGGGUUAGGCCAGUUUAUUAUUUUGUCACUUGUAGUUUUGGUUUCUUAUCUGAUAAGCCUUUGCAUAAUGGAAGAUCAUGAAGAUUUAUCCUUAUUUUUUCUUCUAAAAGUUGUAUAGUUUUAGCUCUUAUGUUAGGUCUGUGAUCCAUUUUGUAUUAAUUUUUGUUAAAACUUAUAAUUUUAUGCCAGGCGUGGUGGCUCAUGCCUGUAAUCCCAGCUACUCGGGAGGCUGAGGAAGGAGGUUCAAGUUCAAUCACUUGAACGCAGGAGGUGUAGGUUGCAGUGAGCUGAGAUCAUGGCCCUCCAGCCUGGCUGACAGAGUGAGACUGUCUCAAAGCAACAACAACAACAAGAACUUAAAAUUGUAUUAGGGUUUUAUUUCUUUGCAUGUCAGUUUCUCAUUGUUCCAGCACCAUUUAUGAAAAAGGUUUAUUAUUUGCCAAAAAACAAUUUUGGCAAAUAAUAAAGUCUGAUAAGGGAUUUGCAUUCAGCAGGAAAAAAAAAACGUCUUACAACUUGAAAGUAAAAAUUGUACUUUGGGAGGCUGAGGCUAGUGGAUCACCUGAGGUCAGGAGUUUAAGACCAGCCUGGCCACCGUGGUAAAACCCUGCCUCUACUAAAUACAAAAAAUUAGCCAGGCAUGGUUGGCGCAUGCCUGUAAUCCCAGCUACUUAGGAGGCUGAGGGCGGGAGAUUCUCUUGAACCCGGGAGGCAGAGGUUGCAGUGAGCCGAGAUUGCACCAUUGCACUCCAGCCUGGGAGACAGAGUGAUACUCUGUAUCAAAAAAAAAAAAAAAAGUAAAAAGUAAAUAUUAUUAUGUAAUUUAGAGGUAGAAAGAACAGGAAAGGCUGAUGCCUGUAAUCCAAACACUUGGGGAGGCCAAGGUGGGAGGAUUGCUUGAGCCCAGGAGUUUGAGACUAGCCUGUGCAACAUAGACCCUGUCUCUACUAAAAGUGCAAAAAUUUAGCUGGGUAGGGUGGCACAUGCUUGUAGCUCCAGCUACCCAAGAGGCUGAGAGAUGACACGGUGAGCCACGAUCACGGCACUGUACUCCAGCCUGGGCAAUGAGAAUGAGACCGUGUCUCCAAAAAAUGGAAAGGAAAAGUUGUUGUAAAUUCGAAAAAAACAAAAAGCUUUUUUUUUUAAAGAUGGAGUUUAGCUCUGGUUGCAGGCUGGAGUGUAAUGGCAUGAUCUCACUGCAGCCUCCACCUCCUGGGUUCAAGCGAUUCUCCUGCCUCAGCCUCCCGAGUAGCUGGGAUUACAGGCACCCACUACUACGCACAGCAGUUUUAUAUUUUUAGUUGAGACAGGGUUUCGCCAUGUUGGCCAGUCUGGUUUCGAACUCCUGACCUCAGGUGAUCUGCCCAUUUCAACCUCCCAAAGUGCUGGGAUUACAGCUGUAAGCCAUUGCACCCCUCCACCUUUUUUUUUAAGUAUUUUGGAGCAAUGUAUUUCUUUCAACUGUGUGGGUUUCAAUUAGCCAAAAUACAAACAAAACCAAACCAGCAAAAUAAUAACCAGUAAGUCUUUAUCAUGAGAUAUUUAUUCAACAUUAAGUUAGGCCACUUUAUACGCUCAAUUAUUAGUAAAAACUUAUUACAUCUACAAAUUACAAGUGGGUGAAGGUUAGCAUAGUGAAAUCAGCUAGAAAUGUUAAAAAUCUGGGAAAAGUUUAUUUAGUCAACAAUCAUUCAAUAAACAAACAUUUAAUGAGCCCUUACUGUGGGCAAGGCUGCUCAUAGUUGAAAGAUUUCUUAUCUUCCUUUUAAAUUAACCGGUAUUUAUAAACAUGCCAAUACAUUUUAUUGCCUGAGAAAACAAUUAAUAUUGCUAUUAUCAUGACCUAGAGGCUGAGAUGUGGAGAUUUGAGUCACUGGAAGUCAACACUUGUUAAUAUGUCUUUUUUAUUAUUAGUAGUAGAUGGUAAAUAUUAUUGGAAAGGUACAGAGACAGAAUUCCAGGCACAAUUACAUCAAAUAAGGCUGAGGUAUAGUUGAGCAUUAGGAAAGAAGCAGAACAUCUAAAUGCUGCUUGUCUUUCAGAUUCACCUAUAAAAUUAUGCAAGUGAAUCUGCUUUUACCCGAGGGAGUGAAUUUGUGGUUUUGUUUUGGUUUUUUUUAGACAGAGUCUUGCUCUGUUGCCCAGGCUGGAGUGCAGUGGCUAGAUCUCAGCUCACUGCAGCCUCCGCCUCCUGGGUUCAAGUGAUUCUCCUGCCUCAGCCUCUCGAGUAGCUGUGAAUACAGGCACCCAUUUUUUUGCUUGCUUGUUAUUUUUGGUAGAGACAAAGUUUCACCAUGUUGGCCAGGUUGGUCUCGAACUCCUGACCUCAGGUGAUCCACCUCCAUCAGCCUCCCAAAGUGCUGGUAUUACAGGCAUGAGCCUCCGUGCCUGGAGGCUGAAAUUGAGAUAAUUUUAAUUGAGAUGCCACACAAGUAAAAUACACUUCAUGUUACUGAUGUGCAGUUGGUUAUUGGUUUUUUGUUUUAGAGAUGGAGUCUCCCCCUGUUGCAGAGGCCUGGGAUGCAGUGAUGCCAUCACACUGUAGCCCUGACCUCCCCAGAUUCAGGUGAUCCUUCCACCUCAGUUUUUGUAUUUUUAGUAGAGAUGGAUUUUGCCGUGUUACCCAAGCUAAUCUGGAACUCCUGGGCUCAAGCAAUCAGCCCAUCUCAGCCUCCCAAAGUGCUAGGAUUACAGAUGUAAGCCACCACACGUGGCCUUAAUUUCAUUUUACCAAUGAUUUAGAAAAUCUAUUAAGAGACUGCAGCCAGCUGUAGACUCUUAAUCAGGUAAUCCCGGCUCUUUGGGAGGCCCAGGUGGGCAGAUCACCUGAGGUCAGGAGUUCAAGCCUGGCCAGCAUGGUCAAACCCCUCUCUACUAAAAAUACAAAAAUUAGCCAAGUAUGGUGGCACGUGCCUGUAGUACUAGCCACUCAGGAAGCUGAGGCAGGAGAAUCGCUUGAACCCAGGAGGCAGAAGUUACAGUGAGCACAGUUGCGCCACUGCACUCCAGUCUGGGCAACAGAGCAAGACUCCAUCUCAAAAAAUCAAAGAGACUACUUACACGAUCUAGAACAGAAUGUUUGAACAUAUUUUCCACCUUUGGGUGGGCUCAUAUCCAGUAAGAAUUAGAUUAAAUAUUAUAUAUAAGUUUUAAAGGUUGUACUAUCCAUCUGGGUAGAAUGCUUGGUUAGCCCAAGUUUAUUAUUGAGAGCCAAGAAGAUGAUCAAUGCAAAGGGUUUUGUCUUGUUAUAGUAGAUUAUUGUUUUGGUUACGAUGACUUCUUAAUGUUUUAAGUGGCCAUGAUCCUUACCUUUCUUUGGCAGGAUGCCGUAACAAAAUACUUUGUGGCUGAAAUGACAAGACGUUUAUUUUCUCUCAGUUCUGGAGACUGGGAAGUCUAAUACAAAAGUACCAGCAUGUUGGUUUCUGGUGAGGGCUCUCUUCCUGGGUUGUAGAUGGCUGCCUUCUCACUAUGUCUUCACAUGGCAGGAGAAGCGAGCAAGCAAGCUGUCUGGCCUCUCCUCUUAUGCAGGCACUAAUCCAAUCAUAGGGUUCCUUCCCUGACCUCAUCGAAACCUAGUUACCUCCCAAAGAUCUCAUUCCAAAUACCUUCACAUUGGGGGAUUAGGGCUCCAACGUGUGUAUUUUGAGAGGGGACACAAUUCAUAGUAUUAGUCAUAAAUGACAUAAAGGCUCUGGUCCAUACACCCAUCAGGGUUAUUGUGCCUUUCUUUCAAGAGAUCCACUAAAACCUACAGGUAGUGGAUUAUCAGGCCAAAUUCAUCAAUCCAUCCAUUUCCCAUGAAGUAGAGGACACUGGGAAAUACAAUAUUUUCUUUUUUUUUUUUUUUUUUUUUUUUUUUGAGAUGGAGUCUCACUCUGUCACCCAGGCUGGAAUGCAGUGGUGCAAUUUCAGCUCAUUGCAACCUCCGCCUCCCGGGUUCAAGCAGUUCUCUGCCUCAGCCUCCCAAAUAGCUGGGACUAUAGGCGCCCGCCACCACACCUGUCUAAUUUUUGGAAAUACGGUAUUUUCUAUGUUUAAUGUUUUAUGCCUUAAGAAGAAAGUCUUGCUGUUUUAGUUGGAUUUUCUUAUCCCCACUCCCACUCCCAAUUAACUGAAGACAUAAGGAAAGGAUCAGGUAAAUAGAAUUGAAUAGCAUCUUUAUCCAUGUUGGAGAUUUUAUGUAUAUGUAUUUAUUAUUAUUUUUUUAUUUUGAGACGGAGUUUUGCUCUGUCACCAGGCUGGAGUGCAGUGGUGUGAUCUCGGCUCACUGCAAACUCUGCCUCUUGGGUUCAAGCGAUUCUCCUGCCUCAGACUCCCAAGGAGCUGGGAUUACCAGAUGGGGGCCACCACACCCAGCUACUUCUUAUAAUUUUAGUAGAGAUAGGGUUUCACCAUGUUGGCCAGAAUGGUCUCAAUCUCUUGACCCUGGUGAUCUGCCAACCUCGGCCUCCCAAAGUGCUGGGAUUACAGGCAUGAGCUGCUGCACCAGACUGAUUUUAUGUAUAUUUAAAAUGCCAAUGCACAAAGAUAGUUUAUAUUUCCUCUCUAUUUCCUUUUAUUUUGGUUUGAUCCUUUUUUUGUUUGAAAUGUAGGCAAGGCCUACAGUAGUCCAGUGAGCAACCAAGCCACCUGGAUUCAUGCUUUUCCCGUUACAGAACUGCUAGCUUUUUGUUUGUUUUGAGACAGUCUUGCUCUGUUACCCAGGCUGUAGUGCAGUGAUCUCGGCUCAUUACAGCCUCUGCCUCCUGGGUUCAGCAAUUCUCCCACCUUAGCCUCCUAAGUAGCUCGGAUUACAGAUGUGUACCUCCUCUGCCCCACCCCCACUGAGUGCAGCUCUGGGCUCCUCUAAGGCAGCGCCACUGUUCAGCCACCAUCAUGAUUAUCUACUUGGACCUCAUCUGCCAUGAUAAGGUGUGUUCACAAGAUCCCAGAAAUCUGACUGGCUGUGCUUGGAAGUGGAGGGGAAGACGGUCAGUAGGAUGACACUGAUGACUGGCUCAUUGGUGGAAAUGCCUCUGCCAAAGGCUCUGAUGGUGAGGUAUGGAAAGCAUAGUAAAUGGCUGUGGUGUUGAUAUGGUCACAAACCCUCACUUGCAGGAAACCUUCACCAGAGAAGCCUACAAGAAAUACAUCAGAGGUUACGUGAAAUCAAUCAAAGGCAAACUUGAAGAACAGAGACCAGAAAGAGUAAAACCUUUUAUGAACAAAUCAGGCACAUCCUUAGUAAUUUCAGAAAAGGUUCUGGCCUGGUAGGGUGGCUCACACCUAUAAUCCCACCACUUUGGGAGGCUGAGGUGGGCAGAUCACUUGAGCUCAGGAGUUUGAGACCAGCCUUAGCAACAUAGUGAGACCCUGUCCCUGCCAAAAAUACAAAAAAAUUAACUGGCUCUGGUGGUACACACCCGUAAUCCCAGCUAUUCGGGAGGCUGAGGUGGGAGAAUUGCUGAACCCGAGAGGCAGAGGCUGCAAUGAGCCGAGAUCACUGCACCGCAGCCUGGGUAACAGAGGAAGACUCGUCUCAAAAAUGCUGCCAGUUCUGUAUUGGGGGAAGCAUGAGUCCAGGUGGUGAAGUUGCUCUACUGGACUACUGUGAGGAUGGGAUGACUCAAUAUGUGAUUUUCUUUGAAGAUGGUUUAGAAAUGGGAAAAUGUUAACAGAUUUGGCAGUUACUUUGGAUCUAUCACCUGUCAUCAUAACUGGCUGCCACUUGCUAUCCACACAACAACAGGACUUAAGAAAAAUGGGACUGAUGUCAUCUUGAGUUCUUCAUUUAUUUUGACCAUGCUUUAUUUGGAGUAGAGGCAUUGUUUUUUAGAAAAACAUGUAGCUUGUCUGAAUAUAAAAUACGUUUAAACUCAAAUCUAGCAAAAGUCAGGAGUGGGGAUCAUAAGAGCAUUAAUUUGGGGAGCACAAGGACAUGUGGUUAAGAUGCUUUUUGAGGCCGGGUGGGGUGGCUCAUGCCUAUAAUCCCAGAACUUUGGGAGUCCAAGGUGGGUAGAUCACAAGGUCAAGAAAGCGCCACCAUCCUGGCCAACAUGAUGAAACCCUGCCUCUACUAAAAAUACAAACAUUAGCUGCGUAUGGGAGAGGGGGCGCCUGUAGUCCCAGCUACUCAGGAGGCUGAGGCAGGAGAAUCGCUUGAACCCGGGUGGCAAAGGUUGCAGUGAGCUGAGAUCGCACCACUGUGCUCCAGCCUGGGAACAAAGCGAGACUCUGUCUAAAAAAAAAAAUGCUUUUCGAAAGCAGUUUGAAUUUUCUAUGCUGAUUAAAAAAAGAGAAGAACAUUUUCUUUUACCCUGUAUAGUAAAAUAUAAGCCUCAUACAUAAGUAAGAGCUACAAAAAGGUUUUUGGCCAACAUAAAUAUACAGAAACUAUUUAGUAUACUAAUAGGAUACAGUUUAGUUUACUAAUAAUACAGUGAUAUACAUGAAAUAGUCAUGUAUAGCUCUAAUAUUUCAUUCACAUACAUAAUUAAAAUCACAUUUAAAAUUUAAAUGACAUUAAUUUUGAAUAUUCCUUUUCCCACUCAUAUCGUUUAUGAAGCAAAUUUAUUCAAAUACUCAGAGCCACAUUUUAAGUCAGCUGAUUCAGUUUUCAGAGUGUAUCACCCUCCAUCUUUAUUAUUUGAAAGACUAUAAUAUUUAUAUUUAUGUAUGGUGCUGCCACUGGACAUUUUAUCCAAGGCCACAAGUAUUCAUAUAACCCUGACACAGUUCCUCCAUCCCUUCAUGGUAUAAUUGAAACUAGCUUACGUUUAUGGAUGCGUUUGCUAUGUGCCAAAUACUGUCAUAGGUGCCUUACGUGUGUUAACUCAUUUACUCAGAGAAAUCUGUGAGAUUGAUGCCUUAUCUCACUUUACUCACGGAACUAAGCUUCAGAAAGGUCAAAUAACUUACUCAAAGGCACACAGCUCGUGAAAGGCAGAGCCAAGAUUCAAACCUACCUGUGGAGCUCCAGAGUUUCUGCCUUUUUUUUUUUCUUUGAGACUCUGACAUCCAGGCUGGAGUACAGUGGUGCGAUCUUGGCCCACUGCAACCUCCACCUCCCGGGUUCUCAUGACUCAGACUCACGAGCAGCUGGAAUUGCAGGUCCCUACCACCAUGCCUGCCUAAUUUUUUUUGUGUGUGGAGUCUCACUCUGUCACCCAGGCUGGUGUGUGGUGGUGCAGUCUCGGCUCACUGCAACCUCUGCUUCCUGGGUUCAAGAGAUUCUCCAGUGUUCAAGAGAUUCUCCUGCCUCAGCCUCCCAAGUAGCUGGGAUUAUAGGCACCUGCCAUGACCCCCAGCUAAUUUUUUUGUGUUUUUAGUAGAGACAGGGCUUCACCAUGUUGCCCAGGCUUGUCAAACUCCUGACCUCAUGAUUCGCCUGCCUCAGCCUCCCGAAGUGCUGGGAUUACAGGCUUGAGCCACCGUGCCCGGGCUUUUUUUUUUUUUAAUUUUUUUAGUAGAGAUGGAGUUUCACCAUGUCGGCCAGGCUGGUCUCUAACUCCUGAUCUCAAGCUAUCUACCCACCUCAGCCUCCCAAAGUGCUGGGAUUACAGGCUUGAGCCACCGAGCCUGGCCAGCUCCCACUUUUAACCACCCUGUUACUCUGCUAUGAUAAAAUAGAGCACUUAAGAUGGUGAGAUUAUUCCCCUAGGAAUAAUUGUUAAACUUAACUUUAAAUUGAUUUCCCCCUCGAUGUUAAACCAGUUGUGUCUAAGCAUCUAAAAGUCCCAUUGGUUAAGUAUUAGACAGUUGUGUCUUCUCCAGAUAGUCAUUUUUCAUCCGAAACAACAUAACUGAAGGAGGUACAUAAUAUAAUUUGUACAGACUCAGCGGUAUAACAGCUUCCUCUUUUAUAAGGUGUUAGAGAAAAUAUAACCUUAUAUUUGACAUGCAUGCUAUGUAAGCCAAAUCAGCUGGUGACGAUUUGAUGGUAUAGUUGUCCUAGUUCUGAAACAGCCACCGGUCACUCGGCACGGGACUUGGCCGUUUCCAUAUUACCUAGUUUUAUUCUCUCUGAAACUCUGGAAGUGAAGUAGCAUUGCUCUACUUUUGUAGAUGAGUCAGUUGAGGCUCAGACAAUAUAAGAAACUUGUCCAGGACAGUAUAGAGUCUAGGGCAGUAGAGUUGACAUUCAACCUUUGUGCAGCCACCGCUAAAGCUUCUGCUCUGUGGAUGCCACCACGUGGCCUCACUGGGCAUACAGCACUGGGUUCAGAAGCCCCAGACUUAACAGCACGUGGCCACCGCGUCACCCUGUCAGCUGGCUCCCACAGUUCUUCCAGCUUCCUUUCAUUUCUCUGCUUUCUUGCUGAGUCUGGCAGGACUUCUGGCUGCAAACAACAGAAAUUCCUGUAGCUAGUUUAAGCAGAAAGGGAUGUAUUAAAAGUUGUUGGUUAGGUGGUUCACAGAAGUUCUGGGAAGAACCGAGAAUCAGGCUUGGAUGUGAUGGAGCCAGGAAAAGAGCCAAACCACACCGUGGGUCUGUUCUAGCAGAGAAAUCACGCUGCCUCUGCUGGCUGCUGCAUCCCCAAGAGCUGAAGGAAUGAAUGCCAGGACUGCACUUCUCUUCUGCCAUGCUCCUCAGAAGGCCUGGAUCAUGAUGGGUGACCCUUGCUGCCUCUGUCACUCACGCUGUGUCCAGGUUGCGCAGGGAUGCUUCUUUUUUGGGAGACAGAGUCUCGCUCUGUAACCUAGGUUGGAGUGCAGUGGUGUGAUCUCAGCUCACUGCAACCUCUGCCUCCCGGAUCCCAGUUGAAGCAGUUCUCCUGUCUCAGCCUCCGUAUUACCUGGGAUUACAGGCGUGUGCCACCAUGCCCAGCUAAUUUUUGUAUUUUUUGUAGAGAUGGGGUUUCACCAUGUUGGCCAGUCUCGUCUUGAACUCCUGACUUCAUGAUCCUCCAGCCUCAGUCUCCCAAAGCACUGGGACUACAGGCAUGAACCACUGCACUCAGUCACUCUGGGAUGCUUCUGAUUGGUAGAAAUAAGCUCACAUGCCUACAUUCUGGCUGCAAUGGAAUAUGGUGGUUUCACAUUUUCUGCUAAAUGAGGAUUGAGUGAAUCAAUCUACAGUGUCUACCGCUUAAUCCACCCCCGUCCCAGCCCCAGCCCCAACCCCAACCUCGGCUCUUCCACACAAAGACCAGUGUCUUAGUCCAUUUGGACUACUAUAACAAAUACCAUAAAUGAGAUGGCUUGUAAAUAACAGAAAUUUAUUUUCCACAGUCUGCUGGCUGGGAAGUCCAAGAUCCCAGCAUUAGCUGAUACAGUGUCUGGUGAGGGUCUGCUUUCUGGUUCAUAGAUGGUGCCUUCUUGCUGGGUCUUUCUAUGGUGGAAGAGGCCAGGUAGCUCUCUAGGGUCUGUUUCAUAAGGACACUAAUUCCAUUCAUGAGCCCUCUUCCUUCAUGACCAUAUCACUUCCCAAAGGCUCCACCUCCUAAAUCAUACCUUGGAGGCUGAGGUGGGCCUCCCAAAAUUUGUAUGCUAAAAUCCUAACCCCUAAGGGGGCUCCUCCAAUUUUGGAGGAACACAGAGAUUCAGACCAUAAUAGACAGGUGGGUACACCAUUUGUGCCUUUAUUCUCUGGUGCUUUGGCGAAUACAGACUGAAUUGAAGAUUGACCUUUCUGUGCUCAUCUAAGUGUAACCAAACCCCACAAUUCACACACUAGAGAAGGUUCGCCUUGUUCUGUUUCUCCUCCUCUGGCCGUGGGGCUAACAGUGGGGCUAACGUGAGGGUCCAGUGUGAAAAAACUGCUCAACCACUCAAAGGAAACCCACUCCAUGGAGGUGUCUCUCUAGCAUGGUGCUACUUUCUGAAGUUACGUUGCUUGUUUUUUGUUUUUUUAGUGGAGGAAGUCUUUCUUCUGAAGUCUGGUAUCCUAUUUGGAGUUCAUAGGGUGAGGAACAUAACCUUCUAUUCCCAUGUUUCUCUGAAGUUUGGGCUUUCAUUUGCUGGGUCCCACAUGCUGAGUGCAAGGAUAACAAACGUACACAGUGAACAAAAGUGUAGCAUUUUUUUUUAAUAUGAAAAACAUGACAUCCUUCUUUGAGGGUAAAGGUUUUCAGUUGCUUUUGAGAAAAGCGUCAGAAGUAAGCUCAAGAUCUGAAAAUAAAGGAGACUUGAAGAAAAUAUGUUGAUGAGAAGAAUAGUAUCAGGCUGGAUGUGGUGGCUCAUGUCUGUAAUCCCAGUGCUUUGGAAGGCUGAGGCAGGUGGAUUCCUAUGAGGUCUGAAGUUCAAGACCAGCCUAGCCAACAUGGCAAAACCCUGGGCGUGACAGUGCAUGUCUGUAGUCCCAGCCACUCAGGAGGCUGAGGCACAAUUGCUUGAACCUGGGAGGUAGAGGUUGCAAUGAGCUGAGAUCACGCCACUGCACGCUAGCCUGGAAGACAGGACAAAACUUCCUCUCCAAAAAAAAAAAAAAAACGAAAGGAAAGAAACACAAAACUAAGAUUUAGCCCACAUCCUAUAUUACUCACUGACGGCAUCAGGCAAAUCUAAUUCAUAUCUCUGCUUAGUUAUCUAGUUGGUACAAUUGGAAAAAAAAAAUACAAAGGCUAAGACCCUAAGAGUUACUGUAAGAAAUGUGCAGACUCUGGAUGCAGUGUCUGGUUCAUACUACUAUAAUGUUAAUUUCUGGGCAUUUUAGAAACUGUGAUCCUGCUGGGUGGGGCCAUUCCCUAUGGCUUGUGCUGCCAGUGUGGGUUUCUGUCUUCUUAGCACAUGGGUGGUUUACAUCCUCAGGUGAAUAAGCAGGUCAGAGUUGAAGGGGGAAAAAACAAAUCUGCUUGUUUAACACCAUUGUUUACUAUGGCAGGGUUUAGAGCUUACGCAAUAUUAGAAAUACAGUCAUGAAGGAUUUUAGUUUGCAUUUUCUGGUUAUCUUGAAGUCUUGGUUUUGCCAGAGGCUUGGAAUAUAUGUAUUAAUUUUCCUUCAAGGUUCAUUUAGCAGCAGCAAGGGAAGGAACGUUUGCAUUUUAAUUGGGUCCUUCUCCAACCUCUCCCCUACCCCCAGCACACACUCUCUACUGCUAAGAGCUAGAGCCAGAUGUCACUCCCUGCCUCUGGGUGACAGGAAUGUCAAUGUCUGUAACUCUUCAGUGGCUACCAACGCAACCACAGUGUGCCCCCAUGAACUUCUCCAGUACCAUGUGAUCCCAGCAUUAAACAGCGAAUGAAAUUCUCCACUCGAGUGGCACAUGCUGACAUGGCUCCAAACAUAAAAACUUGGAGGUUUUUUCAAAAUUAAAAUGACUAGGUUAAGAAACUGCAUUGUCAUUCCAGUAAGUCAGAACUCAAGAUUCUGAUCCUGGCCAGGCGCGGUGGCUCACGCCUGUAAUCCCAGCACUUUGGGAGACUGAUGCAGGUGGAUUAUGAGGUCAGGAGUUCAAGACCAGCCUGGCCAAGAUGGUUAAACCCCUGUCUCUACUAAAAAUACAAAAUUUAGCCAGGCGUGGUGGCGGGCGCCUUAAUCCCAGCCACUUGUGGGGCUGAGGCAGGGAAUUUAUUGAACCUGGGAGGCAGAGUUUCCAUUGAGCCAAGAUCGCACCACUGCACUCCAGCCUGGGUGACAAAACGAGACUCCAUCUCAAAAAAAAAAAAAAAAAAAAAAUUCUGACUUUAACAGGGAUCUCAUUUUGAAAAGGAAAACUUUACGAGUAGAUGAAAUAAGUCUCAGAGUACAACUUUGAAACUUUCAGAGGACAAAUGUCAAUGUGAGAAAGGAUGCCCCAAUGAAAUCUGGUGCCAGUGCUAAUGUCAUGUUCUUAGAUGACGAACUGGAGAAAAUGAAUCAAUGACAAAGGUGGUUUUUGUUCCAGGGGGUGGUCUUUGAAAUUGAGUGUAUGCUGUCUACAGGACCACUUCUUAACACAGAAUUGACACAGAAAGCUGGUGAAGCAGACCUAAAUUCAGGCUUAGCAGCCUCAGUAAUUCUGACAUGUGCUCAUACAGGAAUGGCGGUAGCAUGAAAUAUUUACAGUGAGCCUGGCGGGGAUUAGUGUAUACAGAGGUUAAGUUCAGCAAAAUGUAGGGGGUGGGGAAAGCUGUAAGUGGUGAAAAGGUUCCUAGUUGCCCCUGUGAGAGAAGCAAAGUUUUAGAGUUGAAUUCCUCUUUCUUUUAGAAGUUGUAGGGGGUCUUCAUUGUAUACCUUUACUUGUUUUUCUUUUUUUUUUUUUUUUUUUUUUUUUGAGACAGAGUUUCACUCUUGUUGCCCAGACUAGAGUGCAAUAACACGAUCUUGGCUCACCACAACCUCCUCCUCCUGGGCUCAAGCAAUUCUCCUGCCUCAGCCUCCCCAGUAGCUGGGAUUAGAGGCAUGCACCACCACACCCAGCUAAUUUUGUAGUUUUAGUAGAGAUGAGGUAUCUCCAUGUUGGUGAGGCUGGUCUUGAACUUCCGACCUCAGGUGAUCCACCCACCUUGGCUUCCCAAAGUGCUGAGAUUACAGGCAUGAGCCACUGUGCCCAGCUGGAUACCAUUACUUUCUAAACAACAGAGAGUAUAUUGGGUGUUUCCAGAACUGUGCAGUGCUGCAAAUGAAUACUGGGACCAGAUGGCACCUACCCUCCUAAUGCCUGCAUUCCAAUUAGAGAAACAUCCCUCACUUGAAGCCCCCACGUUAUUAGAUUGCUGCUGUCACAUCCAGGCAAAAAAAAAUGAUAAGCCUAUGGCAUCUCCACUUGGCCCUUCCUAUCAGACUCAGCCUUGUGGCCCCCAGAUUCUGCUGACUCCCCAGUUAACCAGUUACGGACCUUCUGUGCUGUGGGGUGUUCCAUAGAGACAGCAAACCCUGCAGCCAGGGUUUCCCAGUAUUCCUUGCUGCUUGUCCUCUGAGCUCUUGACCAAAAGAACCAUCUUUGUCUUACAUGCAGACAUUUCAGCCUAGAAGCAGGCAGACUCUCCAGGAAAGCCCUGCUCUGUCCCCAGGAGAAGGACAUUUCUGGGUUUGGCAGAAAACAUCCUGAAGGCUGGCAAGCAUACCAUUUGCUCUAGAUACAGGCCAGAAAGUUUUAAAGACCCAGGGCCCAGGAUGUGAGAGAAGGGAAUUUUGAUUUGUGUGUGUGUGUUAAUUUUUUUUCAAGCGCUUACCCUGUGUAGAGACAAAUACUAUUUUCUGGUCUGUUUUUGAAAAACAGAUGAAAGGAUCAGUAGUAUACAGACAGGUUAAUAUGCACUUGGCCUUUCUAUCUGAACCCAGUCCUGAUUUCAUUCUGUCCAUGGGGAAAACUUCCUUUUUACAGUGCAUCUUCAGAGCGGGCUUUGUUCAGAAAUCCUUUAUUCAGAGCCUUUUGUUUUUAAGAGAUUUAUUGGAGAUUGGUUUGGCAGGGGCUGUGAGUGUCAGAUUGUACAUGUGCUGGGGGCACGGUGGGAGAGAGCAUUGGGUAGGGGCGCCAUAUGUGUUCCUGAUGGUCGUGGGUGCUCAUAGAGUUUAAAGACCGAAUCUGUGGAAGGCAAACAAUUGUUUUUGUUUUGAUUUUAAUGCUGGAAUUUAUUUUUCCAUCUCGUUUUUUCUCCUGGACAUUUUCUAGCUGGGUGUGUUUACAAUAUAAAAAGGCUUCAUCAUUGUGGGAAGUAGAAAAGUUUUUAAAGUUUCCUUUCUUAUUUAAAAUAAGCAUGUAAUAACUUCGUUAAGCCCUAUCCUAUGUAGCUGUUAGACAUGCCAUGCUUACAGCACUCCUUGUACUUUAACCAAGAUACCUGUGCUGAAUGGGCUCACUGGCAUGUCCCAGCUCUCCAUUGCUUUUAGCUACUUAGAAAAGUUUUCAGUUGUUAGUUGAUUGGGUUUUAGUUUACAUCGUGAGGUCUGGCUCCAGCCAAUGGAAAUCAGACACAACAGUAAGGACAACCCCAGAUGUGUAAGGAAUAAAUUUGUGUGUUUUCCUUUGUUCGUUGUACUCUUGUGGCGAGAUGGCUAGCCAGAGUACCCUUCCUGCAGUCCAGGAAGUAAAAAUUGCGUUGCCGAAAAAUCCUUUGUCUCAGUGCUGAUUUUUCUUUGUGGCACGUCUAUUUCCAACAGUCAUUGGUCCAUCCUGAAGUAAGGCAUUGGUGUCUGUGUUGGUGGCUUCGGUUACCCUGCCUGGAGCGGGCUCGUCUCCCUGGGUGUCAUUCAGAAACAGAUGGCUGUAUCCAGGGGUUGGCUUCUCUACUUCAGUUGCGUUUGUGUAGAGCAGGUUCAACCCCUCCUGGGGAGGGUGCCUUUGCAUGCCCACAGUCAGUUGUAGAGGCCUGGUUCUACUCCCACUGGGUCCCUGAUUGCCCUUGAGUAAGGGUUGAAUGACAGUGCCCGUCCAUCUUUUUCUUGCUUCAUACUUGGGGUGCUGGCUGUCCCAGCCCAGCAAGUGAGGCCAGCUGAGCUGGGCGUGGUGUUCUUGUGCCUGCUGGUACCUUCUGAUGUCCCAAUUCAGGUACAUCUAUUUUUAGAUUGGGCUUGCCCUGGCUUGAGUAGCACUUGAGCAAGACUGUGACCUUGCAGGUGUUCAGCUGUUUUCUUCACAGAUCCCGGGUGUUCCCUGAUUCUAACUCUUUGGAGGCCUUGUGCUCUGCACAAAGCCAGUGCAGCAGCCACUUGCCUAGCUGUUCCUGGGCAAAGACAUUUCAUCUAGCUAGAGAUAAAAUUAGUGUCCAGAUGCCUGGGGAAGGGAGGGGCUUACAGACUUGAUGGGACAGUUCACUUGAGUGAGUGUGAGCCUCCUACCAGCAUCCGUCUCUAUUAGCGAGAGCCCUGUGCUAACUGUCAUCAUGACAGGUCAGGUUUGUGUGAAACUAUUUAUAAACUCCAUAAAACCAUGUGCAAAUGUGCGAAACUUAGGCUGGCAGGAGUGGAAGGAGGUCGAUGAGGGACAGGUACUAUCUCUUGAACAAGGGCGGGGACGCAGUAUCUUGCCACACAAGAUGAAGGGAACCAGAUAGAGCUGGCAAGGGAGACAGGGUCAGCCAGUUGAAGGGGUCAGUGGCCACGGUCAGAAGUUUGCAGGAGAUCCAGAAAACCCUUGGGAGCCACAAGAUUAGGACGAUUAUUGCAUCUGACACUUGCCAGGUAGAGAAUAUUGUAAACUUGUAGCCAAGGAGAGUUAAGAAGGAAAUAAAAAGUGAGAUCUGGAUGGGUGCAGUGGCUCAUGCUUAUAACCCCAGCACUUUGGGAGGCCAAGGUGAGAGGAUUACUUGAGACCAGCCUGGGCAACAUGGAAAAACCCUAUCUCUACAAAAGAUACAAAAAUCAGCCUGCAUGGGUGCCUGCAGUUCCAGCUAUAGGGGAGGCUGAGGCAGGAGCAUCACUUGAGCCUAGGAGGUUGAGGCUGCAGUGAGACAUGUUCACACCACUGCACUCCAGCCUGGGUGACAGAGCAAGACUCUUUCUCAAAAAUAAACAUAAAAUAGCCCUUUCCAUUGAAGGAUGUGUAGAAAUAAAAAAAAUUCCGGAAGGAUUUCCCAAGAGCUCAGAGUAGAGGUGCCCAUGAGACUUGUAUUAGUCUGUUCCCGCACUGCUCUAAAAACAUACCUGAAGCUAGGUAAUUUAUAAAGAAAAGAGGUUUAAUUGGCUCACAGCUCUGCAGGCUCUACAGGCUUCUGCUGCUGCUUUUUUUUUUUUUUUUCGAGGUGGAAUCUUCCUCUGUCUUGUCCAGGCUGGAGUGCAGUGCCGAUUUCAGCCCACUGAAAUCUCUACCUCCCAGGUUCAAGUAAUUCUCCUAUCUCAGCCUCCUGAGUAGCUGGUACUGCAGGUCUGUGCCACCACACCCAGCUAAUUUUGUAUUUUUAGUAGAGAUGGGGGUUUCACCGUGUUGGCCAGGCUGGUCUCGAACUCCUGACUUAAGGUGAGGCACUGUGGCCAGCCAGUCUUCUGGUUCUGGGGAGGCCUCAGGAAACAGUCAUGGCAGAAGGUGAAGGAGAAGCAGGCACAUUUUAAAUGGCUGGAACAGGAGGCAGAGAGCAAAGCGGGAGGUGCCUCACACUUUUUUUUUUCUUUGAGAUGGAAUUUUGCUCUUGUUGUCCAGGCUGGAGUACAGUGGUGCGAUCUUGCCUCACAACCUCCACCUCCCGGGUUCAAGCGAUUCUCUGGCCUCAGGUGAUCCACCUGCCUUGGCCUCCCAAAAUGCUGGGAUUACAGGCAUGAGCCACUGUGCCCAGCCACCUCACACUUUUAACCAAUUAGAUUUCAUGAGAACUCACUAUCACGAGAACAGCAAGGGGGAGAUCUACCCCCAUGAUGCUAUCACCUCCCCCCAGGCCUCUCCGCCAACACUGGAAUUAAAGGUUACAUGAGAUUUGGGUGGGGACAGACAUCCAAACUAUAUCAAGACUGAAAAGAAGUCUGUAGGGAAAGGAAAGGCAUUGAGCUGGGUGAAAGGUCACAGUCAUGUUGCAUUGGAAAUGUCAAUUCCUUACAUAUGACACAGAACCAGCGAGGGUGAACAGAGUUCCUGGAAUUGAAAAGUUAUGAUAGGGAAGGAACCAGCUGGAAAUCAUUCAUGGGCAUCAUUUUGGGCAUUUCAGAAUUCUCCCUUGAGGUUUACUGUAGUCAGCAAAUGGAAAGGGCAGAAAAAGAGAGGCCUGGGGUUCUGGCUGUCUCAGGGAUGACCUUUCUUUUUAAACAGUGUGGCUAAUCAUGCCGGUGGAAGCUUCUCUCUUGAUUUUUAGGGUAGCCUUGAUCAUUACAAUUAUUUUAUCUUCCAUUAGACUUGGCUCAUUCCUAGCCAGGAAAUAAUUUGGAAAAUAAAAAAGAUCAAGCUUGUAGUGCUCCUGAGAAGGACAGUACAGUUCCCUUCUGAGUGGAAGCCCUAGGUCUUGUUGAUGGCACAGGAACUCAACCAGAAGAUGACCAGGAGGCUUUUCUGUGCUACUCCAAGAUGUUUUCCGGGAGAAUCCUGGGUGGUGUGUGUGGUUCCCAGCUUCCUCCUCUUGUCAAGUAACCAGUGGCCUGAUUGGAGCUGGCAGCCCCCUUGGGAACCGCUGAGUGCUGACUUCUGAGUCUUUUAACACGGCUGUGCACUGAGCACUCUGUUUUCAUUUCCCACUUUCCCCUUUGUCACUUUCAAUUAAACCAGGACAAGCUAUGUAAAAUUUGGUUAGUUAUGUAAAUAAGCCCAAACAGCAGAAGGAUUGAAAUGUGAAGAAACAGUGGUGGAGGAGUGAGUAGGUUUUAGUGGAGAGUCACUGUAACCACAGCCUGACAGAUGCCCACUGUGUGGCCGGCACUGAGAUGAUCUAAAGCACUGUCUCUAGAUUUUAGUGAAACCUCUGCAGCUACGUUACAUUUUCAUGUGAGGAAACUGAGGCAUAAAGACUUUGUUAUUAUUCAUAUGGCUAGUGAGCAGGAAUGCUAAGUUUAGUCCCAUAGUUUAACUGAACUCACUGUCUUGUCUUUUUUUUUUUUUUUUUUGAGAGAGAGAGUCUCACUCUGCCGCCCAGGCUGUAGUGCGGUGGCAUGAUCUCAGUUCGCUGCAACCUCCGCCUCUUGGGUUCAAGUGAUUCUUCUGCCUCAACCUCCUGAGUAGCUGGGAUUACAGGUGCCUGCCACCACACCCAGCUAAUUGUUGUAUUUUUAGUAGACACAGGGUCUCAUCAUGUUGGCCAGGCUGGUCUUGAACUCCUGACCUCAGGUGAUCUGCCCACCUCAGCCUCCCAAAGUGCUGGGAUUACAGGCAUGAGCCACUAUGCCCGACCAUCUCUCUUUUAAGACUUAAUUUUUUUUUUAGAGCAGUUUUAGGUUCACAGCAAAAUCGAGGGGGGAAAAAAAGGCCAGGCAUGGUGGCUCACACCUGUAGUCCCAGCUAUAGGGGAGACUGAGACAGGAAGAUCACUUGAGGCCAGGAGUUUGAGACCAACCUGGGAAACAUAGUAAAACCCACCUCUAAAAAAAAAAAAUUUUUUUUUUAAUGAUCCAGGCAUGGUGGUGUGUGCAUGUAGUCUAGGCUGCCUGGGAGCGUGAGACAGGAGGACUGCUUGAGCCCAAGUCUUUGAAGCUACAGUGAGCUAUGAUUGUGCCACAGCACUCUGGCCUGGGUGACAGAGCAAGACCCAACCUCCUUAAAAAAAAAAAAAAGGUUUUUUUCUGGCUAGGGGCUGUGGGUCACACCUGUAAUCCCAGCACUUUCGGAGGCUAAUGUGGGUGGCUCGCUUGAGCUCAGAAGUUUGUGACCAGCCUGGGCAACAUGGCAAAACCACGUCUCUACCAGAAAUAUAAAAGUUAGCCAGGCAUAGUGGCAUGCACCUAUCAUCCCAGCUACCUGGGAGGUUGAGGUGGGAGAAUUGCUGGAGCCUGGGAAGUUGAGGCUACAGCGAGCUAUGAUUGCGCCACUGCACUCCAGCCUGGGUGAUAGAGACCUAACAAUAAAAAUAAACGAAAAUUUUUUUCUGAGAAAAAGGUAGAGAUUUCCUAUACAUCUUCUUUCCCUGAAAUGUACAGCCUCCUCAUUAUCGACACCCCCCACCGGGGUGGCGCAUUUGUUAGAAUUAAUGAACCUCCAUUGACAUUUUAUAAUCACCCAACAUCCACAGUGCACAUUAGGGUUCACUCUUGGCGUUGUACAUUCCAUGGCUUUGGACAAAGGUAUAAUGACAUGAUAAUGGUGGCGUUAUCAUACAGAGUAGUUUCACUGCCCUAAAAAUCCUCUGUGCCCAUUUUUCCCUUUCUCCCUCCAGCACUUGGCACCAUCUUGGCUCACUGCGACCUCUGCCUCCUGGGUUCAAGCGAUUCUCCUGCCUCAGCCUCACAAAUAGCUGGGACCUCAGGCACAUGUCUAAUUUUUUGUAUUUUUAGUAGAGAUGGGGUUUCCCCAUGUUAGCCAGCAUGGUCUCAAUCUCCUGACCUCGUCAUCUGUCUGCCUUGGCCUCCCAAAGGGCUGGGAUUACAGAUGUGAGCCAUUGCACCUGGACCCCAAUCUUUUUACUGUCUCCAUAAUUUGGCCUUUUCUAGAAUGCCAUGUAGUUAGAACCUUACCACAGAUAGCCCCUUCAGAUUGGCUGCUUUCACUUAGUAACAUGCCUUUCUGUUUCCUUCAUGGCUUCAUUACUUGGUAGCUCAUUGCUUUUUAGUGCCGUGUAAUAACUCCAUUGUAUUCAUGUGCCACAGUUUAUCUAAUCACCUGCUCAAGGACAUCUUGGUCAUUUCCAGGUUUUGGCAAUUAUGAAUGAAGCUGCUGUAAACAUCCAUGUGCUCACUCUCUUUUCACAGAACAUUCUGUUCCACUUAAGAGGUUUCAUGGAGGACUCACUUAGGUCCUCUGUGACAAAUGGGACAUGGUGAAAGUCUGGUGCCAGAGAGGAAAGAACAUACAGGAUUUGUUAUCAGACAGACCUGAUUUGCUUGGAAAUUUGAAUCCCAACUCUCUUCUAUCUAUGAUUUAAAAUUCUCAGUAUUCCCUGCCAUUAACGUACCGUGCUCUCUGAAGCAUUUAGCCUUCCGUGGGCACCCUGAAAUCCAUGUGUGAACUAUGCUCUAAUGGUUGUACAGCUAAAGAAAAUCGUGAACCUCUUGAGGCUGGGUGCAGUGGCUCAAGCCUGUAAUCCCAGAACUUUGGGAGGCCAAGGCAGGCAGAUCACUUGAGCUUAGGAGUUUGAGACCAGCCUGAGCAACAUAGUGAAAGCCUGUCUCUUCCAAAAAUAUUUAUAAAAAAAAAAAAUUAGCUGGGUGUGCUGACCUGCCCCUAUGGUCCUAGGUACUCAGGAGACGGAGGCAGGAGGAUCACUUGAGCUCAGGAGGUGGAAGUUGCAGUGAACCGAGAUUGUUUCACUGCACUCCAGCCUGAUGGACAGAGUGAGACCCCAUCUCAAAAAAAAAAAUGUUCUUUGACGCUCUUGAGCCCAAUGUAUUUUAUUACAGUCUAAUAUUCUUGCUACUUACUUAGAUUAUGAAGGCUUUUUGCAAACUUUUUUCAUAGGUCGUAAAAAAUUUAAGCUUUAGUUGGUCAAUGGUGGGAGGUUUAUACUUUCUUAAAUACAAACCAGAGAGUCUUUGCCCUAGUGCCUGCCCUCCUCGGAGGUCCUGGAAGUUCCACACUUUAGCUGCUGUUCUUAUUGCCAGAAUUUGCAUUGUUAGAGGCCAGUCAGGCACAUUCUUGUAUCUUUUGUUUUCCAGCUAUUUUAGAUAAAGUUUAAGACCUGGAAGUCACCAUUGCCCAAUUCCCAUGGGAAAUCUCCUUCAGUUACUUAGAGAAAAUUCUUGUGGGAAAAAAAGGGGGAAAACAAGUAACUGAUUGUUUACAGGCUCAUGGAAAGAAAUUUCCAUAUAUGACCCAGCUUCCUUGCCGGUGUUUCGGAAAGCUGUGGUUUUGUGAGUCAAGUUCCUACUACCCCAGAACAGACGUGAUUCCAAGAGAGGAUUCUUCAUGGUAAAGAUGAGAAAUGGAAGUACCGCUCUGAGCCCAGACACGUCAUUGGGUGCAGUGUGGUUUUUGAUAGAUUUCUUCCUCCAAGGGCUUUGCUCUACCCUUUCCCACUCGAAUAAGAAAGACUAGUCAUUUUUUAAAUCCUAAUGGAGACUUAGUAAACGUAAGCGCCUGGUUUUUGUUUUUGCUUUGCUUUUAAGAAGAAUUAUUUUGCGAUCUGGAAAUUAUGCCCUGAUUGCAGUAAAUUUUUAAAACUCUGAGAUCACUGGGAACUAAACGUUGCUACUGUUGCUCUGCUUACAGAAGAGCAGAGAAAGACGGGGAGGGGAGGGAUUGACUAGGCAAGGAAACUACUCUGAAAAACACAACUUUCCAGUUCACAGAAGCUUCACUAGCCUUUUUUUUUUUUUUUGAGAGGGAGUCUUGCUCUGUCUACCAGGCUGGAGGGCAGUGGCGGGAUCUGGUCUCACUGCAACCUCCAACUCCCAGGCUCAAGCAACUUUCCUGCCUCAGCCUCUUGAGUAGCUGAGACCACAGGCAUGCACCUCUAAGCCCAGCUGAUUUUUGUAUUUUUAGUAGAGAUAGGGUUUCACCAUGUUGACCAGGUUGGUCUUGAACUCCGGACUUCUAGUGAUCCACCCACUUUGGCUUCCCAAAGUGCUGGGAUUGCAGACCUGAGCUGCCAUACCCAGCUUUUCACUAGCUCUUCUAAAAUGUGCUUGCAGGCUGGGUGUGGUGGCUCACACCUGUAACCCCAGUGCUUUGGGAAGCCAAGGCAGGUGGAUCACCUGAGAUCAGGAGUUCGAGGCCAACAUGGUGAAACCCCAUCUCUACUAAAAAUACAAAAAAUUAGCUGGACAUGGUGGCAGGCACCUGUAAUCCUAACUACUCAGGAGCCUGAGGCAGGAGAAUUGCUUGAACCCAGGAAGCAGAGGUUACAGUUGCCCAAGAUCGCACCAUUGCACUCCAGCCUGGGGACAAGAAUGAAACUCCAUCUAAAACAACAACAACAACAACAAAACAAUAAAAUGUGCUUGCAGAUGAGUCACAGUGGGGUGGAGUAUUUGUUGAAUGUACACUCUGUACAGGUGCCUAGAGAAGCACAGUAUCAGUGACUGCCCUUGACCACAGUAGCACGUUGGCGAGAGUCAAGCUUCAAGGUUAUUCCCGUUGGCUGAAAAAACACCAGAGCCCUGACUCCUACCUCUGACACACCUGGUAUGCACCUCCACACUUGGUGGCAUUAAGAUGUACCACACUCCAGGGGAGUCAUUAGGGAGGAAACAUCCGCAUCGUCUUGAGUUUCUAAAAACCAAGUGAAUGGCAGUGCUUUCACCAUUCUACAGUAUCAGUGCAGUGAAGAUAAAAUACAAAGAGUUGGAGCUUCCAAACUCUCCCCACAGUCAGAGUGGAAUUGCGAUGGGUUUUUGGUCCACUGCUUUAGUUCAUAUGCUCCAAGUAGCAUGGGCAGCAGUCUGAGCCCAGGCUGCAGUCCUUUCCCAAAGGCCUGUUCCACUUGGCUUGUUUUCCCCACUGUGCGGUGCCAAUUAGGUGGGCUGAGCUAGAUUGCAAUUGUCUCCAGGUACAGCUGCUGUGAGGAGUGGCCCACUUUCCUUUUGUCCGUAAUGGGGAGAAGCUUGGAACUUGAGCAAAUGUCAAGAGCAAGAAACCAGCUUUGAGGCUUUCCCGAAGACCCACUUUCUGUUAAAAAAAAAAAAAAAAAAAAAUUGCUCCUGAUUCUCCCAGCCCAUGGUGAUAGGUCCCUGUGGGAACCUCGGUGUCCUCACUGCCUUAAUCCAUCGAUUCACAUCUGGCGUGUGUUGCCUUGUAGUGGUGGGAAUCUUUUCAUCUGGAUACUCCUCAUCUUCACAGCGAGUUUAUAUAGCGCAUGUGCUUAGAGGAGACCCUUGUUAAUUAUUUGUCUGAUUCUGGUCUUGAGAGGUAGCCGUUCUCAUGGAUACCAGCAGGAUCAUACCCGGAAGCUUUAGAGAAAUAUCUUUAGGGAUGCUAAGAAAUGUUGAUUUCUUAGAGUUCCCAGAGCCUUGAGAGGCAUUCGACAGAAUUCUCAAGCUGAAAUUGGCUGGUGAUAAUUGGCUCAGAAAAUUCCUUCUUCCCUCUCUGCCUAGCAGAGUAUGUGUUGUCACCAACUCUUGGAGCCUGUCCCUCGGGGUCUUCAUGUCUGUGGCAGGAUUCCUGGAAAUGAGUUCAAGUCCUGGUGGAACUGGAUUGAGUUUCCAAAACGAAAAUUGUCUCCAUUUCUGUGAAGAAAGAAACAACUUCUAACUCAGAGGAUUGAUUGGGCUGACAAGCCAGGCUGGAAAAUGGGGACUGAGCAGUUAUCUAUGGCCCUUGAUGACUGGCGGGAGGGUCUAAGGGACCAAGGAGGCACAAAUGCCUUUAAGUGAGGGCGUGGAAAGUCAUCCUAAGCAAAAAGAACAAAGCCAGGAGCGUCCCAUUACCCAACUUCCAACUACGCAUAAGUCUAUAAUAAUUAAAACAGCAUGGUACUGGUACAAAAACAGACACACAAACCAGCGGAACAGAAUAGAGAAUCCAGAAAUAAAGCCAUACACCUCUAGCCAUCUGAUCUUCCGCAAAGUUAACACAAAUAAACAACAAGGAAAGAACUGUCUGUUUAAUAAACGGUGCUGGGAUAGCUGGCUAGCCAUAUGCAGAAGCAUGAAACUGGACCCCUACCUUUUACUUCAAAAAUUAACUCAUCAUGAACUAAAGAUUUAAAUGUAAGACCUCAAAGAGUAAGAAUCUUAGAAGAAAACCUAGGAAACACCAUUCUGGACAUCGGCCUUGGAAAAUAAUUUGUGGCUAAGUCCUGAAAAGCAGAACAAAAACAAAAAUUGACAAGUGAGACCUAAUUAAAGAGCUGCUACACAGCAAAAGAAAUUAUCCGCAGAGUAAACAGACAACCUACGGAAUGGGAGAAAAUAUUCACAAACUCUGUUUCCAGCAAAGGUCUAAUGUCUAGAAUCUAUAAGGAACUUAAACUAUUCAACAAGCAAAAAACAGAUAAACCCAGUUCCAAAGUGGGCCAAAGACAGGAAAAGACAUUUCUAAGUGGCCAGCAAACAUGAAAACAUGCUCAACUUUGCUUAUCAUCAGAGAAAUGCAUAUUAAAACCACAAUGAGAUACCAUCUCACAUCAAAGAGUAGCUCAUGCCUAUAAUUCCAGCAUUUUUGGAGGCUGAGGUAGGAGGAUCAUUUGAAGCCAAGAGUUUAAGGCCGGCCUAAGAAACAUCCGGGCAUGGUGGCAUGUUUCUAUAAUCCAGUUAACUUAGUGGCAGGGGAUCCUUUAAGCCCAGGAGUUUGAGGCUAAAGAGAGCAUAAUUGUGCCACUGUGCUCCAGCCUGGGUAACAGAGCAAGACACUGCCUCUUAAAAAAAUUUAAAAGCCGCCAGGUGCAGUGGUGUGUCCCUGUAGUCCCAGCUACUCAGAAGGUUGAGGUGGGAGGAUCACUUAAGCCCAGGAAUUCUGGGCUGUAGUACACUUUGCUGAUUGGGUGUGCACACUAAGUUCAGCAUCAAUAUGGUGACCUCCUGGUAGCGGGGAACCACCAGGUUGCCUAAAGACGGGUGAACCAGCCCAGGAUGGAAACGGAAAAGGUCAAAACUCCCAUGCUGAUCAGUAGUGGAAUUGCACCUGUGAAUAGCCACUGCACUCCAACCUGGGCAACAUAGCGAGACCCUGUCUCUUAAAUUUAAAAUCCAGGCCAGCCACGGUGGCUCAUGCCUGUAAUCCCAGCACUUUGGCAGGCCAAAGUGGGUGGAUCACCUGAGGCCAGGAGCUGGAAACCAGCCUAACCCAUGGUGAAACGCUGUCUCUACUAGAAGUACAAAAUUAGGCAGGCAUAGUGCUACAUGUCUGUACUCUCAGCUACUUGGGAGGCUGAGGCAGGAGAAUCUACUGAACCUGGAAGGCAGAGGUUGCAGUGAGCCAAGAUUGUGCCACUGCACUCCAAUCUGGGCAAUAAGGUGGAAACUCGAUUAAAAAUAAAGCCAAAAAAUAACUGGUGCUCGAAUAGGCUUUGGAGAAAAGCAAAUACUUAUACACUGUCGGUGUGAAUGUAAGUUAGUUUGGUCACUGUGGAAAGCUGUUUGGAGAUUCCUCAAAGAACUUAACACAGAACUACCAUUCAACCCAGCAAUCCCAUCACUAGGUAUCUAUUGGAAAGAAAACAAAUCAUUCUAUCAAGAAGACAUGUGCACUGGUAUGUUCAUUGCAGCAGUAGCAAAGACAGGGUAUCAGUCUAUGUCCUGUGUGCCUAUUAAUGGUAGAGUGGGUAAAGAAAAUGUGGUACAUACACACCAUGGAACACAACACAGCCAUAAAAAAGAAUGAAAUUGUGCCGGGUGCGGUGGCUCAAGCCUGUAAUCACAGCACUUUGGGAGGCCGAGGCGGGUGGAUCAUGAGGUCAAGAGAUCGAGACCAUCCUGUUCAACAUGGUGAAACCCCAUCUCUACAAAAAAUACAAAAAAUUAGCUGGGCAUGGUGGUGCGUGCCUGUAAUCCCAGCUACUCAGGAGGCUGAGGCAGGAGAAUUGCCUGAAUCCAGGAGGCGGAGGUUGUGGUGAGCCGAGAUCUCGCCAUUGCACUCCAGCCUGGGUAAUGGGAGCGAAACUCCAACUCAAAAAAAAAAAAAAAAAUGAUAUCAUGUCUUUUGCAGUAACAUGAAUGCAGCUGGGGCCAUUAUCCUAAGUGAAUUAACACAGGAACAGAAAACUAAAUACUAUAUAUUCUCACUUAUAAGUGGGAGCUAAACAUUGGGUACUUAUGGACAUAAAGAUGAGAACAAUAGGCCCUGGUGACUACUAGAGGAGGCGGGGCCAGGGUUGAAAACUUAACUGUUGGGUACCAUGCUCAGUACCUGGGUGACAGGAUCAGUUGUACUCCAUACCUCAGCAUAACACAGUAUAACCCAGGUAACCAACCUGCAUAUGUACCCCUGGAUCUAAAAUAAAAAGAUUACAGGCAGUUGCCACCACGUCCAGCUAAUUUUUGUAUUUUUUAGUAGAGACGGGGUUUCACCAUGUUGGUCAGGCUGGUGUUGAACUCCUGACAUCAAGUGAUCCACCCACCUUAGCCUCCCAAAGUGCUGGGAUUACAGGUGUGCGCCACUGCGCCUGACCGCAUAGUGGGUUUUUUAGGGCAUGCCAGGUUCGAGGUGCCGGCAGGACACUCAGCUGCAGCUGGGCAGGAGGUCAGGAGAGAGAGAGAUUGAGGAGUUGGUGGCUCUUACUUGGUUACUAUAGCUAUGGAAGUAGAGGGAAUAACCCAGGUCACAGGAGGGAGGAAGGAACAAAGGAAGAAGCUGGUGCCACUCCAAGGCUCACCCUGGCCUGGCGGGAGGAAGGAGGCUGAAAAGAGGGGACCAGAGAGCUGUAGGCAGCUCUGUCCACCAGAGUCUUAUGGCUAAUGGGACAGAUUUGAUAGCUAAGAAAUAGAUCUGUAUACGAUGAAAGCCCCAGAGCAUGAUGGUGUCAGUUCAUGCUCCCAGCGUUGCAUGAGUUGAGGGUGUGCGAACUCCAAGAGGGCUGGAUGGGAGAGGAGGGAUGGGCCGCAGCCGUGUGGAGCUUUCUCCGAUGUAUUCUGAACCCUCCUCUGCGUUGAUGGCAGAAGUUGGAAGGGAGCUGCUUCCUCAAACUUGCAGGUCAGGGUCCUCUUUGCUGGCACAAUUGGCAGGGUGUUCCCCAUCAGCACUGACCUUAUGGUCUCCUGUCAGGGGGCAGGGAAACAAACCUUGUUUGCUUUCAUAACUUUCUGUGUGGAUUUUUGAUGGGGGAUGGGAAAAGGGGAGAAGGAAACCUUAGUGCUUCCUGUUGUUUUUAAGACCACUUAUGAAUUGCAUUUUCUGGUCUUUUCAUUUUGCGACAUCAAGCAUAUGAAGCAUGAUAGCCAUAGAACUAGCCAGUGGUGGCUGGGCACAGUGGCUCACACCUGUAAUCCCAGCACCUUGGCAGGCUGAGGUGGGCAAUCACGAGGUCAGGAGAUCGAGACCAUUCCGUCUGAUCUUGAUAGUGAAACCUCAACUUUACUAAAACUACAAAAUAUUAGGUGGGUGUGGUGGUACACGCCUGUAGUCCCAGCUACUCGGGAGGCUGAGGCAGGAGAAUCGCUGGAACCUAGGAGAGGAGGCUGCAGUGAACCCAGAUUGCAUAAGUGCACUCCAGCCUGGGCAACAGAGUGAGACUUUUUUUUUAGACAAAGAAAAUCUAGGCUCCAUUGACUUUGCAUGCUUAAUAUAAAAGUUCUCAUUUUAAUAAGUUUAAACACAUCAUUUUGUGGCAUUAAGUACCUUGACGCUGUUGUGCAGCCACCAGCACUAGCCAUCUCCAGAAGACUCUUCAUCUUGCAAAACUGAAACUCUAUCCAUUAAGCAGGAACUUCCCAUUCCACCCCUCCCGGGUCCCUGGCAACCACCAUUCAUUCUACUUUCUGUCUCUGAAUUUUGCUAUUCUGAGUGCCUCAUAUUACUAAAAUCAUACAGGGUUUGUCCUUUUAUAACAGGCUUAUUUCAUUUAGCAUAGUGUCUUUUCAAAACUCAUUGCGUCAGAAUUUCCUUCCUUUUUACGGCUGAACAGUAUUCCACUAUACGUAUGUAUCGCAGUUUCUGUAUCCAUUCGCCCAUCAGUGGGCGCACAGAUUGCUUCCACCUUUUGGUUAUUGUGUGAACAGUGCUGCCAAAAAUAUCAGGCAUGUGAAUAUCAAUUUGUGUCUGUUUUCAGUUCUUGGGUUUAUACCCAGGGGUGUCCCUUGGUUUUUGCUGUUUGAUUGACUCCUACUCUGCUGGGGAUUUCUGAGAUUGCUGUCUUUGUUACCCUUCUGUUUUAGCUUCUGGGAGAAUCUUAGGUGUGUCCCUAGGCUGCAUUGUGACCAGCUGGAGCGCCACUACUAAGCCCCUGCCUGAAGGUCCUGCCCACAGAGAUCCACAUCUUGUCCACUUAGCACCAUCUUAGAGUUUGGGUCAGGAAGAUUCACGUUCUAACCUCAGUACUUCCACCUGUGUGCCUUGUGAUGUUGCAAAGCUUCCUCCUCUUCCUGUAGAGCUGUGUUUCCGCGCCACACAAUGAGAAGGCAGAACUCAGUGAUCUUCAGGGCCCCUCCCAGGUGAUGGACAGUGGGGUCACAGUGGUCUCCUAAGCUCGGUGACCAAGGAACCAAGGUGGGCACGAAGAAGGCAGAGCCCCAGAUACCUGUUAUGGAUAAUGCAAUUCAGCUUCCCAGAAAUCUGGGACGGUUAGAUGGCUUGUGUCCUUGCUGAAUUCUGGCACAUGCGACGUGGCUUGUUUUGUGAGUAAACGUAGCAGUAACUCCCCUUAAAGCAAAACUAUAUGCUAUGUAUUAUCCACCCUUUGUUGAGAGAAUGGGGUAAGGAGAGGCGGGAUAACUGGUUUGACCAUGGAUUUUUGGCGGAUAUCGCCAUUUAAUACAAUCAAGGAUACUUCAUAGGCAAGUCGCCAGCUAAUAGAAUCAAGGAUACUUCAUAGGCAAAUGUUACCACUUGUUAGCUCUGCAGUUUGGUCACAGGCCAAGGCAAUUUUUAAUCAUUUUCCCUCCCUUCUUUAAAAAAAAAAAAAUUAAAGAGCAGACUUCCUUCUCUUUAGGUUGAACUGUGAGCAGGAGUCCACGCUUUCCUGAACUAGGAAGGUAAAUUCCAGGAAGUUGCCCACACAUCAACUUCCAGGCCUCUCGAGUGCACAUAAAAAUGUUGACUAGCCUGGGGCUCCCUGCCAGGGUUUGGAGAUGAGGUACUAGUCCUCCCAUUAGUGCUUUCUCUGCCCCACCAGGGAGACUUCGUAUGUACCAGCAAUGUCGUGUCUUUGUUUCAUCUGGAAAAGGCGGAUCCUGUUUCUGUUUUCAGGAAUGUGUUAGGGUAUUGGGAUGACUAGAACCCAUUUGGAGCACAUUUGAUGAAAAUGUAUAGCAUUUUCUUUUUAGGAGAUAUUUUAACCAUCUUAAAAAAAAAAAGACUUAAGUCCAGAUACUAAGCCAUCAGUGUUUUUAAUAUAUGGAAAAUGUAGAAGCAGUUUCAAAAAGUUCUCACUGUGAUUGGAACUAGGUUAUGACAAUACAGGACUCCUAGGGGAAGAAUUUAUACUGGAUAAAACUCUAAAAUAAAUGAAUAUACUAAAAAAAAAAAAAAAAAAACCCCAAAUCUGGCUGGGGGUGGUGACUCAUGCCUGUAAUCCGAGCACUUUGGGAGGCCAUGGUGGGCGGAUCACUUGAGACCAGGAGUUUGAGGCCAGCCUGGCCAACAUGGUGAAACCCCAUCGCUACUAAAAAUAUAAAAAUUAGCCAGGCAUGGUAGCAAGCACCUGUAAUCCCAGCUAUUCUAGGAGGCUGAGGCAGGAGAAUCACUUCAACCUGGAGGAUGGAGGUUGCAGUGAGUCAAGAUUACUCCCACCUGGGCAACAAAGCCAGACCCUGUCUCAAAAAAAAAAAAAAAAAAGUGGCUGCAAGAAGAAAACAGAGGAUGUUUGCUUCUAUUGUCCCUUGCAAGUGUAGCUAAUAAAGGACCUUGUGAGUACUGGAAUUAAGAAAAUGCCAUUCCAAGUUGUGUAUGUACAUUUUUAUACCUACACCAAAGGUUCUUGGAAUAAAGAUUCCAAAAUUCUACGACAGUGUCUGGCUGUUGCAUCAUGCAAGACCCCUUUUGCUUCAGCUGUAAAACAAGGCAAAUUUUACACAUAAUAGAAACCACUAUCUACGUAUGUUGGUUUAGGGAAACCUAUUUUUUAACGUUCCAUUUCUCAAAAAACCUUAGAAAAGUCAUAUUGUCAGUAAAAGCUGCUGAUGUUCUCAGCAACUCAAGGGCUGACUGAUAAUUUCUGCUUUUGCUAGUACUGGUCUACAGUGGAAUUUGGAAGCAUAGAGUACAGAAGUUGUAGAUUUGGCCGGGCGCGGUGGCUCACGCCUGUAAUUCCAGCACUUUGGGAGGCCAAGGCAGGCAGAUCAUGAGGUCGGGAGAUUCAGACCAUCCGGGCCAACAUAGUGAAACCCCUUUUCUACUAAAAAUACAAAAAUUAACUGGGUGUGGUGGCACAUGCCUGUAGUCCCAGCUAUUCAGGAGGCUGAGGCAGGAGAAUUGCUUGAACUCGGGAGGUCGAGGUUGCAGUGAGCAGAUACCGCACUCCUGGCGACAGCCUGAGACUGUGUCUCAAAAAAAAAAAAAAAAGGAAAAAGAAAAAAAACUUGGUAGAUUUGGUGUCAUCAUGACAAAUGGCUUUUAUUUCCCAACAGAUUUCUUUAUAAAAUAUUUCAAACUCUUUUGAUUUUUGUUUGUAUUUGAAUGCAUUUUAAAAAAAAAACCUGGCCCUUUAAUAAGUGCAAGACAGAUUAAAUUCAUUGUGAAAUACUAGGUCACUGGGUGGAAAGUUUCUUCACUGAUCAUCCUAGCUUCACAUUUUUAGUUAUGUGAAGUGCACAUUUGGUUUUCUCCUGCCUGAAAUCUUCAGUCCACCUCCAUGGCAGUCUAGAAUGAAGCAGCUGUGGGCUGUGGCCAGCCAGGUGUGUGUCCUUGGCUGAUGGAAGAGCUGAUCUGCAGAUACCUGCAGGAGGAAGCCAUGUAUGACAUCUGCUGGGAUUUGAUUUCCCCCCAUACUCCUGGAAAAUGAGAACUGUUUAUAGCAGCCUGGUUCCAGUACACUGGCAGGGCAAGGAUUGGCUUGUUCUUUUACAAACACAAUGUGGCUGGAUGCACUCAUAAAUGAAAAAUGAUCUGAGUGCUGUGGGUGGGUGGGGCUCUGGAGCUCAGGAGGUGAAGCCAGGAGGAGAGAGAAAGAGAGAAUCUGCUCCUCAGCUCCACGGAGCAUGGGGAGCUGGCAGGAAGUUGGAGCACACAUGGCGCAGCUUGUGUUUUGUUGAUAGUUAAUAACCCAGGACUUUAAAGACCUCAAUGGAGAAGGGAAAUGAAGCACAACCAACUUUGGAGUCUGUCCCAUUCCAGAGGCUGCUGAAGCACAGCAGGGCACGUUCACCUGACCAGCCGUAAAG